This 48678-nucleotide long non-coding RNA is filed under the name Vitis vinifera (wine grape). Its description in RNAcentral is "long non-coding RNA (VVIN_LNC006391)". Lineage: Eukaryota; Viridiplantae; Streptophyta; Magnoliopsida; Vitales; Vitaceae. The record is from RNAcentral.
UGAAAUAAGAGAGUUCAUUAGAAGGAACAUGGAGAUCAAUCAUUAGAUACAUGACUACAAUGUCACUACAAAAAGGAUAAAACAUAAAAUGAAAAUAAAUAAAAGGAUACAGAACUAUAAAAGAACAUGCACGUUCUCCCCGUUAGAAACAUGGAAAAGAAAAUUUAGAUUUCGGAAACGUGGGGAUACAAGGGGUGAGCAGCAUCAUAAAUUAAUCACUGCAAAGCAGUGAGCACUACUGAUUUUAGGCAAAAGCAGGCAUGACUAGUAUAUAAGACAAACCAAACCAUCAAUUCAAGAAUCAAAGCAGAGAAUUGAAUAUUUACUAAAGCUGUCAAUGCAUAACAUGGUAUAAUUCACGCCCUUCAUACUAUGGGAUAAUUGAUUAUUCCAUCCUUUGGUCCUUUUACCCCAACCAAAACUCCAAAAUACCAUUCUCAUUUCAAAGUGAUAGUUCCAAAAUUUGUGCGGCAGCACCAAUGAGCAUUUGGGCUAAGGCAUAGGGUACUUCCAAUCAAGAUAAAGCAUCAGACAUAUUCAGAAGGUUUCCUCUACUGUGUAUCUAAUGUGAUCAUCAACUUAAACAUAGAUUUCAGAUUGUUAGAAGAUGCUCAUUCAUGAUGUCAUGUCAAAGUUAGCGCUAAAAACUUCAUCCAUGCUCAAAGUUGGGAUCAAAAAAUGGAAAAAAGGAAAAAAAUAUUAAGAACCAAAUCAUUUGCAGAACUCUUGCUCUAAAAAUAAAGUACAAUGUUGGGGAUAUUACUUAGCAGAGGAAUUUGCAAAACAAUGGCUACAGGACAAAGGAAAGAACAAAAGAUCGUUUACCAUCCAUCUCAAAUGGAUCUUUCACUGGGUAUCUCAGACACAAGAAACAGAGAAACUCCUACCAAGAAACUCCAAACCAAAAAAAAAAUGAACACAAAAAAUUCUGGUUGAUGUGUUCUUAAAUUCAACAGCUGAAAUAAAACACUGUCAGCAAAAAGUUUCUUGGAACAAAUUACUGCACAAAUUCUGAAAUAAACAAAAUACUGCACAAAUUCUGAAAUAGAGACGAAUUAUAACAAAUAUUGAAAUUAAAUUAAAAUUUUGAAUCUAAGAAUUUUUAUAUUUGGGGGCCCUGAUUCCAAAAGAGGGAGAGAGAGAGUUAAGCUUAAAGGGUUUUGUUUCCUUUUCCUUAGUUUCUUCCAACGGUCCGACCCCAGUCCAGGGUAUAUCCUCCAGCUCACACAGUACAGUUAGAAAAUUAUUCCAAAAAAAAAAAGGGUCAAACAAGAACUCAGAAAAAUCAGAUUCUGAAUUUACUUCUCCUGUCAUUUUCUAAGGCAACAAAUAGUAAAAACAAUCUUUAAAAGAAAAGAUCAGAAAAUAAGAAGGAGAAGAAAACACUUGAUUUACAUUCUUUGUAGCUGAUUGAUUUUUCCCCUUUUCAAAAUUAAAAAAAAAAAAAAAGAAGGUUGCUGAGAAAAUGUUGUAAAAGAAAAUCAAAGUUAAUCUGGAAUCUUCAGAGUUUUUCAACCCAUAUAAAAGAAAAUAAAAAAAAUUAAAAAUAUAUAGCGAGAAAUGAAUGACCAAAUUUCAUUGUUAUCAUUUUUCUUCCUCCAAUUUCUCAGCAAGAAACAGAGAAAAAAGUUUAUGAAAAACAAAAAAAACCAUAAGUGAAUCUGAACAAAAACAAUGUAAAACAAAAGACCCAAAUCCAAUCUUUCCGCUUCCUCCAAUUUCCGGGGAACAAAAUCAGAAACAGAUACGCCGCUUGAUUACCAAGAAAAUGAAAGAAAAAUUAAAAACUUGGUAGCAGUGAACACAAAAAAAUGAAAACCUCCCUUAAAACAACUACUUCACCUAACUGUUUCGAGCAUUUAAUUUUCAAUAACGCCAAAAAAAAUGACGGUUCUGUUCUUUUCCUCCACUUUCUCAUCAACCCAACGGUCAUUUUACCAUUACCUACACUUUCCCAGUAAAAGAACAAAGAAAAGAGAGCAAAGUCCGUACCAAGGAUAAGCAUGGCAUCGGGAAGAGCGCCGAGAAUGGGAAGCAAGAGGCCACCGACCAGGCCAGGACCCAAGAGUUCAAGCAGGAGCUCACUGCCGGAGGAAAGAUAGGUUGCGGCGAGGAACAUGAGGUAACCAUAGACCAGGAUGAGGAAGAGGUUACCCACUGUUGUCGUUGUGCAGGGCAUGAAUCCGUACGUCUGAUCACAUGAAUCCGAGGCUGAAACAGCGGAAAAUGAUCUGAGAAGAAGAUAAGGCGAGCCAUCGCGGUGGUCGUGGACGCCGUCAGAGACUAGGCCGGUGGACGAUGUGCGGUUGCUUAUGACUCUGCCGUCGACGGAAGCGCCGGCGGCGAGGAGCAGAAGGAGGAGGACGGAGCCGGAAGCGGUGGUGGCCAUGGUGGUGGAGGAGAGCGAAGAGUCCUAUGUGGAGUUUAUUUCCAUAUAUAUGGAUUUGGAUGUGGAUGGAUGAACCGCGUGUGAUGCGUGUCUGAACCGGCGAUCGAGUUUUAGUAUUAUUAAAUGUAAGGAGCGCAGCAGGUAAUGAAGGGUUCCUGGUUUUUCCAUUUUAGGUAAAUGGAGGUGUUCAUUUGUAAUUAUAUAAUUUAAAAGGAAUGUUUUCAACUUUUUUUCAAAUGAUUAAAAAUAAUAAUAAAAAAAUAUAUUUUUAGAAAAAAAAUUAAUAAUUAAAAUUAAAAAAAGUCAAAUAAAAGACAAAUGGACUUAUAACUGUUCUCCUCGUUUAAUUUUUUUAAUGAGAUGAGAUAUGAAUUAUUUUGAAUAAAUGAGGUAAGAUUGGGAUAAGGCAACCUGACUCUAAACAUAAUUUUCUCCAAAAACUUUAAAUUAUAUUUUAAAAAUUAUAAUUAACUAAAAGAUUAACUAACUAUUUAUGUAAAUCACUCGUAUUAACCUUAAAUUUGUUUUUAAAAAAUAUUAAAUAAAGAAAAUUGAGAAAAAAAUGGUAGAAUAAAUAAUUUUAGAAAUAUUUUAAUUUUAAGAUAUAUAAGCACUAAACAUGCUAAAUUUGAUUGUCUUUUUUAACUAAAUUAUUCAUGUUUUCCUAAAAAAAUAUUUGUGUUAUUUAUGUUAUUCAAUUUAUAUUUCUGAAAAAAAAAGCUGAGAAUUGAAUGGGCCAAAAUGGGACAAUAAUAGUAAUUAAAGUAAAAAAAAAAAACAAAAUGAAAUGAUUGCAUUUUUUAAUUUAACCGUUGUAUCAUACUCCAUUAUCUACAGUAACUGGUGGCUUUUCAAAAGUUAAAAGAAUAUGAAAAGUUGGAAGAUAUCUUUGUUGUGAAUUAAUAAGAAACAAGAAGAUAAUAAAUCAAAAUUAGCAUCUAAUAUACACAAUAAAAAAGUUAAAAAAAAAUAUGCUUAAUUUUUACAUUAAUUAACCCAAAAAAUAAAUCAAAAUCCAAAAAAAUAUUGCUUUAUAUAAAUUAUUUUUUAAUUUAUGCACAAAGUUAUUACAUAUUUAAAAAAAACUUUUGUUUUCAUAUAAAAUAAUAAUAAUAAUUACUCACGCUCAUGUAUCUGACAGAAUUACGGGAUCAAAUAAACAAACGGGAUCAAAUAAACAAAUAUCUCAUACAACGCAAACAAAUCUCUACACAAAAAUUAGGGAUGAUUUUGAUAUCAUUUGUAACAACUUGCAUUAAAUAAUAUAGAUAUUGUCGUUUAUCGCUUUGAACCUGAAAAGAAUCCUCGUGAAUUUAAAACACGUUUAUAAAAUUAAGAAAAGUUCAUAUUUAUAUAAUUUUAUGAAUUUUUUCUUGUAAUCUAAUGUUAAAUAUGAUAAUAUUAUUAUUAUUAUUAAAAAGCAAUUUUAAUGAUACUAAAUGAGAAAAAUAAUAAAUAGUAGGAACAUGAAGGACCGAGAAUAUACUUUUUAUAGAAAAUAAUCGAGACAUUGAAUAAUAUUUCUCAAAAGUUUCAAAUCUAACUUGAUCUAAUUUUUUAUUUUUUAUUGCAAAUGCAUUGGACCAUAGCUAACAUUUCCAACGGAUCAAUCAAAAUCACGUGCUCUCAUGUUUUUUUAACAUCCCUAUUAACCUGAAUUUGUUAUUUCUUAUGUCCCACCAACUUCACUUUAUUCUUGGCCGUUAAUUUCCUGAUUUGUUCACACACCCAUGUCGGCCCUUUCUGUGACAAAUUAGAUUACGUGCCAUCAACACCAUGUGAUCAUAAUAGAAAAUGAUCGUAUGGUUAAGGUUUGUUGUGUUUCUACUAAUGGUCUUAUAUGAUGUACUUGAAUCGUUAACCGACCAAAUCAGCAUCGAUUGAUGAUUUCAAAUUUCCCCACUUCACAUCAUAUCUAAAAUUUAUUUUUGAAAAGAAAAUAGUUAAACACGUCUUGGUAAAAUAUCUUUAUCUAAAAUAUUUCUAAAAUGUAAAUUUUAUAAGUGUAUUUAAAUCAAAUUAAACGGGGAAAGGUGGGCAUGCUAAUUUUCCAUCCCCUUCAGCUUUUGUUUUGAAAAAAAUUUAAAAAUUUUAAUCACAUUAAAAUAAAUAUAGUUUUAUAAAUAAUUAAAAUAUUAUAAUUAUUAUUAUUAUAUAUUAAAAAUAAGAUAAUUAAAUUAAAUUAUUUUUUAAAAUUAAUUUUAUAUAUAAUUAGAUUGAGAUGAGGCAAAACAAGACAAUUCCUAAACUCGACCCGAACUCAUCCCAAAUUUAUUUAAAUUCUAAACCCAUCCCGUUAUGUGUAAGGCAGAUUUCCCAAAAAGCUUAUCCUCAUUUGUUACAUUUUGUAUUUUUUUAAAUAUAUAUAUAUAUAUAUAUAUAUAUAUAUAUAUAUAUAUAUAUAUAUAUAUAUAUAUAUUUUGCUUAGCUCAUUUUUGAGAAAUUAAAAGUUAUAUUUUAAACCAAAUAUCAACAUUUUCGUAAGAUUUAACUUAUAUUAGAACUUCUGUAAACUUUAAUAAAACUUUUAUAAUAGUUUUUUUUUCAAUGAACUAUUUUGAAUACAAUUCUCGAUCAUUAACUCAUAAACUAAAUAAACACACGAUUUUAUGCUUCUAUGGUACACUUCAUUGUAUAUAUUGACAACUAUGUUUCAAUGAUGUUUUUAUUAAAAUUAAGAAUAAUUUUGAAAAUUUGAAAUUUGCUUAUCCAUUCACAUUUAAAAAGGAUGCAUUUAGGACUUUUUUUUUUAAAAGGGCAAUAAAUCACACUUAAAACAUGGACUCACAAAUGAAAGUUUUAUUUUAAACAUUCUUAAAAUUAGUGAUUAAAGGUCCAAUUUAAUUGGGUUUUGAAGAAAAAAAAAUCAACAUGAUCAGUUUAUAUUUAAAUCAAAUCAAAUCAAACUCUCAAUGAUAGAAAAACUAAACAAAAUCAAACCCAUAUUAUUCAACAUUGGUUUGUUCGAUUUAUAUAAUUGAUUGAAUGCAAGCUAAUUUAUGUCUUAAGUUCAAUUAGUUUUUAAAAUUAUAUUUGACAAAAAAAAUAUGAAAUGUUAAUUAUUCUUAGAUAACUAAUUAAAAUUUAUAUUUUAUAAACUUGGGUUCCUAUUUUGUGAUUUUUUUAUAUGAGUGUAUGGAAUCAUGCUUUUCCCUUAAAAAUAAAAAAUUAUGCAAAAAUAUUAUUGUAAAAAUUGCAUGUAUAAUACUAAUAUUAAAUUAUAAUUAUUUAGUAAAUUUUAUUAGCCCAAGUGAUAUUUAAUAGGAGGGGGGAAGUAUUUGUUGGCUUACUCAAUCUCAUCUCGCGCAAGUGAAAAUUAAGUUUUGUUUGGAUUAUCAUCAUUUUGGAGAAAACAACAAAAGGAUGAAAAUGAUAAAAAUAAAAAUAAAAUCAAAUAAUUUAAAGAACACGAUCUCAUUUGUUGGCUUUAGAUUAUUUGUACUUUAAAAGUAAUUUAAUUUAAAUUAUUAUAUAAAUUAAGUAUGUUUGAUAAAAUAAUUUAAUAUUAUAAUUUAUAGUUAAAAUGAUAUUAAGUAUUAGGUAAAAAUAAUUUAUUUAUUUUUAAUUUUAAAUAUUUUUUGUUUUAUUUUAAGAUUAAUGAAAAUAAAUAUUAAAUAAAAUUAACGAUGAUAAAUAUUAAUUAUAAUUAGUAAGGACAAAUAUGUCAAUUUGAUUAAAUUUUAUCCGACGUCCACUUAAUCUUCUAAUAUUAUAUUUUGUUUUUAUUUGUUUGCAUUUUAUGAUGGGUGCUUUGGAAUUUUCAUGAGUAGUCACACCGGCGCGUCCGUGACUAACGGACACGUACAACUCGACGGACACGGCAGUGGGCCCCACAUUUUAGGUUGGCGAACCGUGCACGUCGGCCGAUAAUACCCAGUUACCCAUUUCCGUAUGGUGACUUUAGACAAAAGUGUGAUGCGCUGUCAUCCAUGUGACGACAAAAAAAAAGAAAAAAAGGGUUGGAUAAUGCUAAUGAACAUCUCUCAUCUCUCCGGUUUUCUACUGGCCAAUCAUAUUUCGGCACGUCAGCAAUGAGAUAAGGUGGAAAUUUUAAUUCUUUUACUUAUAAAUUUAAUGUAAUGAAGCAUUUGUAAAAUUUCUUCCUAUUUAUUAAUAAAAUUUAAAAUUAUUCAGUUUAAGGCCAUAUGUUUGAUUAAAAAAAAUUAAAGAAAAAUAAUUGGGAAAGAAAAUAAAGAGAAAAAAUAAAUAAAAAAUAUAUUUUAAUCUUAUAAAUUAAUUGUUAUAAAUUUAUUUUUAGUAACCAAACAUACUAUAAAUUUAUUAUUAUUUUUUUAUUUUUCUUUUCAUGAUAUUUGAUAUAAAGAUUUUAAAUUAAUUAAACAAUAUAAAAGCCAAUGACAUGAAAAUAAAAGGUAAAAAGGUUUACUUAUCUGGGCCACGUUAUAUAUAUCAUAAAUUAAAAGUCACAAUAAACAUUAAAAAAGUUUUUUUGAAAAAAGAAAAAAAUUAAGAGUAUGCACGACAAUAAAUUUAAGAAAUGUUUUUAACAUUUCUAAUACUUAAAUUUUUUUUUAUUUUUUUAAGAGUUUGUUUGAUAGUGAUUAUAGAAAGUGUUUUUAAUAUUUUUAGUACUUGAAAAUUUUUAUCAUUAAAAUGUUAGAAAUAUUAAAAACGUUUUUUAGAAUUAUUCCAAAACGUAGUCUAAGUAUUAGAAAUAUUAAAAACACUUUUAAAAAAUCAUUCCAGAUAAACUCUAUUCUAAAAAUACUUUCGGAAAAAAUACUAUCAUUAAAAAUACUUUGAGUAUAAUUUUCUAAAAUCAUUAGUAAACAUACCGUUCUUUAAAGUGGGUCUUCCACUGAUUUUGAAAAGUGUUGCUAAUAUUUUUAAUACUUAAAAAAUAAAAAAUUUUAAUUAUUAAAAAUAUUAAAAACACUUUUCAAAUCACUAAAAAACACAUUCUAAUAAAUGAUAUAAAUUAAUUAAUUAAUUAUAUCCUCUAUCCAUUUGUACAUGGCAGAGAAUUUGUGGAUUACCUUAUUUAUUUCCUGUUCACAUUAUUAAAAGUUUUUAUUAUUAUUUUUUGAAAUUAAAUUAAUCAAAGGCAUUCAAUCCUAUACCAAAAAGCACUUUUCCCUUCAAAAAAUAACAAAACAAAAUAAGUGAAAUUUUAAAUUGCUAGAUGAAUUUAAAAUAAUAUACAUGGAAUUGUGUUAAAUAAUAAAUUUUCUUAAAAUUGUAUUCAUGAAAAUAUUUAUAAAAAAAAGUCUUUUUAAGUUUAUUUAUCAUAAAAAAUAAAAAAUAAAAAAUUAAAUUUUAUGUAUUUUUAAAUUAUUUAAAUUUUAUAUAAAAAAUUAAAAUAAAUGAAAUGAAUAUGAAAUAGUAGUUUUGUAACAAGAAUCAAUGUGAUGCUAAGGAACCGUGUGAAUGCAUAUUGUAAGAAUAAUUUUACUUUUUGGAAAUAAAAACUUUGAAAGUGAUAGGUUACCAAAUUUGGAUAUUUUUUCGGGGACGGUGUUGGUAAAUUUAGAAUUUUUUGAACAACCUAAAAGCACUUUUUGAUAAGUCAAAUUUCAAACUGAAUCCAGGCCCUCAAUCAGCAUUAACUGAAUUGUGGAAAAGUCAACAAGUGGUUUGGCAACCAAGAAAAUGGCUAAAAUUAAAUGGCUUUAUCAGUGUAUCACCAAGUGGAUAUUUAUGAUAUUGUCUUGUGUCUAUCCAUGAAAAACUCUUCCUUUAGGCUGGGAAAUAUGAGAAGAAAACAAAAUACAAGAUUGAGUUUAGGAAUCUCUUUGUGAUAUUUUAGAUAGGAGAGUUAAUCACGCUAUGUAAGUAUAAGAUUCUUUUAACUUUAUAGAUAUUUUUUAAAGUCGUGAAAGUUUUUUUGUAUUUAAAAUAAAUAAUAUUUAUACGAUUGGAAUCAUAUAAUUACAAAUGACAUUAUAAUCGAUCUCUAAUUUUGAUGUGAAGGUUUGUUUGAUCUUACAAGCAGUGUUUAUCUGUUUGACCCUAUAAUUUUCUGAAACACAAGGAAUGCACUACAAAGAUAUUGUGUCUGUAAUGUGCACACAUUUAAAAAUGGUGAGACCUUUAAGUUUAGAACAAACAAUAUUUACACCAUUAAAAACGGAUCAUUACAUUAUUUCUCCAUCAUUUUUAAAAUAUAUAAAAUAUUUUAAACCCCAUACCUCUUGUUUUUUGUUUUUUUUUUUGCCUUACAAAAAAAUGAUAAAAAUUAUAUGUAUAUACAAUUUUAUAUAUAUAUAUAUAUAUAACACCAACUAAUGUACUAUAUAUAUGUAGCAAUCAGGUGUCUAAGCUUCAAAUUUAUUAUUAUUAUUUUCUUGUAGUUAGAUGUUGACCACGUCCCUAAUUGGAAAUCUAGAAUACCCAAAGUGGGACCAAAUCUAAAUAAGAAAUUUAUAUUUUUUUUAAACCUCCAUCAAAGAUCAAGAAAUUUGACUAGUUGGGGGUGUCUCUUAUCCCUCCAUAACUAAAGUCCACUUGAGUUCAAUUUUUUGGGGUGGGUCAAAUGGACUAGUGGUUGAAAUUUAUGUUAUACAAAUUGAAUGGAGGGACAAAUUUGGAAAGGUGGAUUUGAUCAUCAACCAUAUAUUUUUUUCAAAAAAAAUGAAAUAAAAAUUAACUUAAUAAAUUUGAGAAUAAAUAAAAUAAAAUAAAAUGGGUUGGUCAUUGGAUGGCCACUUUUUUUUUUAGAACUUUUAUUUUAUUAAAAUAAUUAGAAAAUAAAAAUAAAAUGGGUUGGUCGGUGGAUAUACUUUUUAAAAAAAGAAUUUAACAUUGUUUAUUUUUUAAGAAAUAAUUAAGAAAAAAAAAAAAAACUAAAAUGGGUUGGUCAUUGAUUGACUACAUUUAAAUUUUUUUUUUUUUUAAAUAAUUAGAUUUGUUAAUUUCAGAGAGAGUCAAAGUAGGGUUGCCACCGUCCAUUUUUUUUAGUGUGGGGAGGCUUAGGAAUAAAGAGUCAUACCUUUGGCUUUAAUUGAGGAUCUCAAAAGGUGGGAUAGGUCAAAACCUAGAUGCAGAGUUGCCAUUUGUCAUUUUCAUUUAUUUAUUUUUUCUUUGGUGCUUUCCUCGUUAAGCGGGAAAGUGAAAUUACAAAACAAAAACACAAGGAUUCAUUCCAAACUCCAAAGUAAAGGAAGAUGUGGGGCUGGUUUAUUGCCAUCCCUUUUAGGGUACCUUGAUGUGGAGAGGUCCAUUGUAGUUGCCCUACACAUUUGUGAUUUUAAAUUUUAUUAAUUAUUAUGUUUUAAUUGGUAUUCAAGGGUGACAUUUAAAAUUCAUUUGGUGAUGAUUUUGAAAAACGUUUUUAAUAUUUUUGACACAUAAUUUUAUUUAUUUAUAUUAAAAUAACGAUAUUUAAGUGUUAAAAAUGUUAAAUAUACAUCUAAAAAUGAAUAAAUACCGUUAUAUUAUAAAUAAAAGAAAUCAUGAUAAGAGUCAGAAUUGUGAAUUUUAUUGAAGUGUUUAUAAAAAUAUAUGAGAAUAAAAUUAAUUAUUAUAAAGUCUUUUAUAUAAAUAAAUAACAAAGUUUGAUAUUAGUGUUGGCUAAAUAAAUUAAAAUAUGUAUUAGACCAUCUAUAUUUUUAUUUUUAUUUUUAUUUUUACAAUAAUUGUUAAUUUUUAAAAAUAAUUAGAUUAUUAAAGAGAGAUUCAAAGUAGGGUUCCACCUUCCAUUUGUUUAACAAAGGGUAGAAAUUAGGAAUAAAGAGAUACCUUUGUAAGAGAAUCUCAAAAGCUAUGAGAAGAAGCCAAACCCUAGGUUUAGGCGUGCCUUUACUCUUUGUUUCCUCUCCACCCACAAAAAACGAAAGGAAGAAAAAAGAAAGGGAAUAGAAUAAAGGUGAAUUUAAGGUAUUUUUUUCUUUUUCUAUUCAUUUUAUUAUAUUUAUUUUUAUAUUGACUUUAUCUUUUCAAAAGACGGGUUUAUAUGUAAAUAAAAUAUGAUCGAUUUAAAUUAUUUUUGGGAUAAGUGUAUUUAAAUUUUUUUAAUUAAAUAUAUAUAUUUUUUCAAAGUUGAUUAAACAAGGAUAUAAAUUUUGAUCAAAUUAAAAAAAAAAAAAUUGAAAAUUUGCAGGAUAUCGUGUUGUAACCCACUAAAUAUUGAAAAAAAAAAUCCAUGAAAUAUAAAACAAAAUGAUAAAACCUAGAGUGAUCUGUCUUUUCGUAUUGACACGUAAGCACCAUGCACCCAUUUUCUUCCCCACAAUUUCUGCCUAAACAUGAGGAGGAAGCAUUAUCCACGCACAUACAAAAAGCUCCAUUGAUUUUGCCUUGACCAAAAUAGUGGCAAAUGGAUAUAUCAAUUACCAAGAAAAGAGUAAAAUAAAUAAAAAGGUUCGUCAUUAAUUUCUAAUGUUUUAGUUGGUAUUCAUGCCAUUGAUGAGGCAAGUUGCUCCCCAUCUACCUAUCAAACUUUUGAUAACUUUCAUUGAUUUUAUUUUUUCAACUAUUUUUUUUUUCAAUUUGUUUAAGCUUAAUUAAGAUCCAAGGGUCUCAAAUUUUUUAAUUUUUUAAUACUUAUUGUUUAUAAUUAUUUUACAUAACUUCCAUAAAUAUAGAAUUCAAAAUAAAAUCUAUAAAUCCUCAAGGCUAGGUUUGAAUCAAAGAGAAAAAGAAAAUCAAAUAUAAUAAAAAUUAUUCAAAAAAUAAAUCUUAUUUUGUAUUCUCCUUUAUUUAUUUAUUUUCCUUUUUUUUCUUUAUCUCAAAAUUUUCAAAAGCUUGAGCAACUUAUCAUGCAAAUAAACAUUUUCUUCAUAAUAUCAAAUAUGUAUUAAUAAAAUGAUACCAUACCAUGUUAAAUGUCAAGAAUUAAUAAAAAAAGGGUGACUCUUUGAUAUCCAAAAAUAUUUUUCAAUAUUACAUUAAAUAUUUUUAUCCAAUUUUAUAACGGUGUAAAAUAAGAAUGUGAUAAAGGUACAAAAAGAUCAAAUAAUAUUAGGGGGUACAACUUGGGUAGAUUAGCCCGACCCAACCUGAUGUUUAGAUCGGUUUGAGCAAAUAUUUUUAAUACUUGGGGUUGAGCUUGAAUUAAGUUUUUUGAACUUGAACUUAAUUUUGAUUGGGUUUAAACUAAGAUUUGGACAACCAAACCCUAACCCAAACUCAUUUUUAAUAAACUCUAUUUGAUAUUUUUAUAAUAUUUAUAAUGUUUAUUAUCUUAUAUGAUAAUGUUUAUUUUUUUUAUAUAGAUUUUAAAGAAAAAAAAAUCAAAUUGUAAUUGUAUUACAUAUUUUUUUUUCAUUUUUUAUAAAGAUAAAUAAGUUUAUUUUAUUUUUUAAUUAUUAUCUUAAAGUUUUAUUUUAUUUACUAUUUAAAUUUUGAUAUAAAUAUAUAGAAUUAUAAAAAUCAAAUUUUUUAUAACCAUUAUGGAAUUUGAAUCAUACAGUCAAAUCAACUUGACCAAUUCGAAUCGAACCGAGUCAACUUGAGUUUAAUUUAAUCAACCAAAGUUUAGCUUGACCGAUCCGAGUUUAGAAAAAUGAGAUUGAGUUAAGUUUAGGUUGGAUGCCUCGAGUUAGAAGUUGAGUUGAGUUUAAGUUGAUUGUUUCUUAAUUUGAAUUUGGCUCAAGUUAACCAUUGGCCAACCAUCCCAUUUAAGUUACAAUCUUAAAUACUACUAAAAAAAAGAAGUGUGAGUAAUAUAUAUAUAUAUAUAUAUAGAGUAUAUCUUGAAAAGUGUUGAAAGUUUCAAAUACAAAAUGGUAAGAAUUUAAUUUCCCAUUAAUUGCAAAUUAGAUUUGAUAUUUACUUAGUAAAACCCCUUUAUGAAGUGGGCCUUUGGAAGUCGGCAAACCAAACAACCAAAAGCAAUGAACUAACAAACAGCAACUAACUCGAAAGAGUCGAAGUACUUCUGUAAGAUAUUUGAUGAGACACCAUGGACCCAUUGGCAGUUGCCCACCGUUCUUCCCAUUCAUUUUUGCUGGCAAAUGGUCCUCCCUCCAUCCCCACUGCCCCUUUUCCUACUCAACCUCAUUAUUUGGCUGUCAGACUAUACAGGAGGGAAGGAAAAAGGUUAUGCUUGGGUUUGAGAAAUGUUUGAAAGAAGACGAGAGAUAAAAAGAAAAUAGAAAAAAAUUAUAAAUAUAUUUAAAGUGAAUAAAUAAUCUUUUAUAAUUACUUUAAACUCAUUUAACUUAUUUUAACUUUUCGAUAUAAAAAAAAAUAAUUCAACAAGUAAACAUAAGAAAAAUUUUUCUUAAAUUUUUUUUUUUAGAAACUAAAUAUAACCUAAGAAAAAUAAGCAUCGAUAAGGUAGAGAUCUUUUUGAAGGGGCAUUUACCUAGAUUUUUUAAUGAACUUAUAGCAUUUAAAAAAGAAUUGUAAAAUUAAUAAUUAUAAAAUUAUGAGAUGAAACCAAACCCUAGGUUGAGGCAUGCCUUUACUCUUUGUUUCCUCUCCACCCAAAAAAAACAAAAGGAAGAAAAAAAAGGGAAUAAAACAAAGGUGAAUUUAAGGUUUUUUUUUUUCUCUUUUUCUUUUCAUUUUAUUAUAUUUAUUUUUAUAUUAAUUUUGUCUUUUCAAAAGACGGGUUUAUACAUAUAUAAAAUAUGAUUGAUUUAAAUUAUUUUUGGGAUAAGUGUAUUUAAUUUUUUUAAUUAAAUAUAUAUAUUUUAAAAAUUGAUUAAACAAGGAUAUAAAUUUUGAUCAAAUUAAAAAAAAAAAGUUUUGAAAAAUUGUAGGAUAUCGUGUUGUAACUUGUAACCUACUAAAUAUUGAAUCUCAGCGGUUGAAAAAAAAAUAUAUCCAUGAAAUAUAAAACAAAAUGAUAAAACCUAGGGUGAUCUAUCUUUUCGUGUUGACACGUAAGCACCAUGCACCCAUUUUCUUCCCCACAAUUUCGGCCUAAACAUGAGGAGGAAGCAUUAUCCACGCACAUGCAAAAAGCUCCAUUGAUUUUGCCUUGACCAAAUGGAUAUAUCAAUUACCAAGAAAAUAGUAAAAUAAAUAAAAAGGUUCGUCAUUAAUUUCUAAUGUUUUAGUUGGUAUUCAUGCCAUUGAUGAGGCAAGUUGCUCCCCAUCUACCUAUCAAACUUUUGGAAACUUUCAUUGAUUUUAUUUUUUCAAUUUGUUUAAGCUUAAUUAAGAUCCAAGGGUCUCCAAUUUUUUAAUGUUUUAAUACUUAUUAUUUAUGAUUAUUUUACAUAACUUCCAUAAAUAUAGAAUUCAAAAUAAAAUCUAUAUAAUCCUCAAGGCUAGGUUUGAAUCAAAGAAAAUAUUCGAUAAAGAGAAUCAAAUAUAAUAAAAGUUGUUCAAAAAAUAAAUCUUAUCUUGUAUUCUCCUUUAUUUAUUUAUUUUCCUUUUUAUUUUCUUUAUCUCAAAAUUUUCAAAAGCUUGAGCAACUUAUCAUGCAAAUAAACAUUUUCUUCAUUAUAUCAAAUAUGUAUUAAUAAAAUGACACCGUACCAUGUUAAAUGUCAAGAAUUAAUAAAAAAGGGUGACUCUUUGAUAUCCAAAAAUAUUUUUCAAUAUUACGUUAAAUAUUUUUAUCCAAUUCUAUAACCAUGUAAAAUAAGAAUGUGAUAAAGGUAAAAAAGAUCAAAUGAUAUUAGGGAGUGAAACUUGGGUAGGUUAGCCCAACCCAACUUGAUGUUUAGACGGGUUUGAGCAAAUAUUUCCAAUACUUGGGGUUGAAUUUGAAUUAAGUUUUCUCGACUUGAAUUUUAUUUGAUUGGGUUUAGACUAAAAUUUGGACAAUCAAACCCUAACCCAAACUCAUUUCUAAUAAACUUAAUUUGAUAUUUUUAUAAUAUUUAUAAUGUUUAUUAUCCUAUAUGAUAAUGUUUAUUUUUUUUAUAUAUAUUUUAAAGAAAAAAAAUCAAAUUGUAAUUGUAUUAUAUAUUUUUUCAUUUUUUAUAAAGAUAAAUAAGUUUAUUUUAUUUUUUAAUUAUUAUCUUAAAGUUUUAUUUUAUUUACUAUUUAAAUUUUGGUAUAAAUAUAUAGAAUUAUAAAAAUUAAAUUUUUUAUAACCAGUAUGAAUUUUGAAUCAUACAAUUAAAUCAACUUGACCACUUCGAAUCUAACCGAGUCAACUUAAGUUUAAUUUAACCAACCAAAGUUUAACUUGACCAAUCCAAGUUUAGAAAAAUGAGAUUGAGUUAAGUUUAGAUUGGAUGCCUCGAGUUAAAAAUUGAGUUGAGUUUAGGUUGAUUAUUUCUUAAUUUGAAUUUGACUCAAGUUAACCAUCGGCCAACCAACCUAUUUAAGUUACAAUCUUAAAUACUACUAAAAAAAAUGAAGUGUGAGUAAAUCAUAUAUAUAUAUAUAUAUAUAUAUAUAUAUCUUGAAAAGUGUAGAAAGUUUCAAAUACAAAAUGGUAAGAAUUUAAUUUCCCAUUAAUUGCAAAUUAGAUUUGAUAUUUACUUAGUAAAGCCCCUUCAUGAAGUGGGGCCUUUGGAAGUCGGCAAACCAAACAACCAGAAGCAAUGAACUAACAAACAGCAACUAACUCGAAAGAGUCGAAAUACUUUUGUAAGAUAUUUGAUGAGACACCAUGGACCCAUUGAUAAUUGAUUUUCAUAUUUAUUGGCAGUUGCCCACCAUUCUUCCCAUUCAUUUUUGCUGGCACAUGGUCCUCCAUCCCCAUUCCCCACUGCCCCUUUUCCUACUGACAAUUGUGUUUUGGAUCUAGUUGGGUCCAAAAAUUAAGAUUUGAUCCAUGAAAAUUGUAUAAUUGAUGGGAAGGAUAUAAAAUUUAAAGAGACCAAUAUAUCCUUCAAAACUAUUUUGAAUAUUUUCUACUAUAGUGUUUGACAAACUUUUUUAUUUUAAUUUUUUUAAUAAUUAUUAUGAAAAUUUAUUAUUUUUAGAAAAUAAUUUUAAAAUAUAUAUUCUAAAAAUAUAUCAUUUAAAAAAAAAUAAUUUUGACAUAUUUUUUGUUAAUUUUUACAUACAUAAUUUUAAAUAUAUAUAUUUUCCAAGAUGUUUGAUUUUUAAAUAAUAAUAAUAAUAAUAAUUUAUUUUUAUUUUUUUUGGAAAAUGGUGUAUUUUUUCCAAAUCACUAAAUUAAAUUAAAUUAAAAUUUAUUGAGGUUUACAAAAGGAAUAAAAUUUAAAUUAAUGUUUUUCCAUUUUUUUUUUCAUAAUAAAUAAAGGUCAUUUUUGGAAAGAUAAAAAAUUCAUAUCCUUCUUCUCAAUUUCCACACUUUCUCUAGGUCUUGGGUUGAAAUAGUGAACUUAUAUGGAUCAAAACUUAAUUUUUAGGUCCAACUAGGUUCAAAACAUAAUUGUCCCACCUCAUUAUUUGGCUGUCAGACGAUCAUUCAUCCCUUUAACAAGAAAAUCCAGGAGGGAAAGAAAAAAGGUUAUGCUUGGGUUUGAGAAAUGUUUGAAAGACGACGAGAGAUAAAAAGAAAAUAGAAAAAAAUUAUAAAUAUAUUUAAAGUGAAUAAAUAAUUUUUUAUAACUACUUUAAACUUAUUUUUUUUUUAAUAGCUUCCUACAACCAAAUAUAACAUAAAAAAACUAAAUUAAAACAAUAGAUUAAAAAUUAAUAAAUUUCUUUCAACUCAUUUUACUUGUUUUUUUUCUCAUUUACAUAAAGAUGAAAUAAUUUGAAUAUUUUUUUAACUAAUCAAGGUAUUGAAAAAAUUUAUUAUCUCAAAUUUUAAUUGUGAUGUUUUACAUCGAAUAUGAGAAAAAGUUCAUGAUACUAUAUUAAUAUGAUUUUUUUUUUUAAUCUUGUAGACGUGAUUCAAAGCUGUAAGGACCAUUUUUGGGUUUAAAACGAAUAAUAUUUACGGAUGGUUGGGUGUGGAUUGAUCAUUGACUUUGGUGUGCGAGAGUUUGUUUGAUCUUGUAGAGAGUGCUUAUUUGUUUGACCUUACAAUCCCAUGUGUUUGCAUAAAAGGAUGUUUAUAACUUCACAUAUUGAAUAAAUAUGUGAUAAAGUUUUUGUGUUGUAUCAGUAUGAGCUUUUCUUAACCUUGUAAGCAUGUUUUAAAGCCGUAAUGACUUAUUUUAGGUUUAAAAAGCAUAAUAUAUAUACAGUUAAGUGUGAGUCAUUACAUUAAUAUUUUUAAAAGUGAUUUUCAAAGGUAUAAGAUAAAUUUAAACUUUUUGUACAAGAUGCUCUACUUUAAGAUAAAAGUUUAUGAUUUCAAACAUAAGAGAUAGGAAGUGUAUCCAAAUGGAUGCUUAACAUAUUAUUAUUUAUUUUAUUUUUACAUUGAUCCAAUCAUAAAUCAGAAAUGAUAAAUAGGGUUUCGUAAUCUUUAAUUUUUUUGACUAGCUUACCAUUAUAAAAAUACUAAUGUUAUAUCAUAUUUUCACAAUUAUAAUGGGAUGUUAGGGUUUCUUAGUCUUAAUCGAUUUGAUAUUGACUAUCAAUCCAUAUUAUUCAAUAAUUCUUUUAAGCUUUUGGGAUUUUGAUAACAUGCACCCACAUUUUUUUUUUGUAAUAUUUUGUGAUGGGUUUUGAUUUUUUUUUAAGGGUCAAGAUAUGAUGAUUCAAGAAAAAGACAAGUAUUAAGAAUGAUUCUUCAUUGACAAGGAACCAAAUUGAAAGUUGGAUCAUGGUGAUAGGCAAUUGACAUAGAAAAUUUGAUUUGCCAACUCAUGACAUGAAAGCCCAAACUUGAACUUGAAGUUAGGAAACUAUAUACAAUUCCACUUUAUCAAAGUUGAAAUGAUCUUCAACCUCAAUGCUAGAUCUAGAUUCUUUCCUUAGUGGAAAAGCUUUGAACACUAUUCCUUUAAACUUAUCUCUUUACUUAUGGUUAUAACCAUUUUUCUUUCCUAUUCCAACCUUGAAUGGGGUUCACAUCAAUCCUUUGAUUUUUUUUUUGUUGGGUCAACCCCUUUGAUAGAUUUGAGCGCACAACUAAAAAGAAAUUGGGUCAUGAUGUGGGCUAGGGUCCAAAGCCUAGACAUGGUCCAAUUCCAAUUUAAGGGGUCCAUGGGAGGAAUUCUAAGCCCAUAAGCAUAGCAAAUGAAUGAUUUUUACAAUGAAGAACUUUAAGCUAUUAUUAGUUGUUGGAAAAUUUGGGGGAAAAUAUAAAGGGAAGAAAAAAUGAAGAAAAAAAAAUAAAAAUAUGAAGUUAAAAAUUCUUUUUAUAUGCUACUCAAACUCAUUUAACUUAUUUUAACUCUUCGAUAUAAAAAUUAAAUAAUUUUAAAAUGUAAAACUUUUAAUUAUAUAUAUAUAUAUUAUAUUUUCUACAAGACAAGUAAACAUAAGAAAAAUUUUCCUUAACUUUUUUCUUUUUGAAAACCAAAUAUAACCUAAGAAAAAUAAGUAUUGAGAAGGUAGGGAUCUUUUUGAAGGGGCAAUUACCUAGAUUUUUGAUGAACUUAUAGCAUUUAAAAAAGAAUUGUAAAAUUAAUAAUAUAAUGAAAAAAAUAUAGUGGAUCGAUUUAGCUCCAUAGAUGGUAGGUUGGUGUAAUAUAAAAUCGUCUCUUGAAAAGAUAAUUUUUUAUUUUUUAUUUUUGAUGUUUUCCUUCUAUAGAGGGAGAGGUGUGGCAUUUAGAGGGAUGUCGUCUCUUCUCACGUCAGUAUAUCGAGAUCAUCUUUUUAAGAGGCAAGUUUAUUUUUCUCAUCUUCAUAAAAAUAAUGAUAGAAUUAAAAUUGCUUUCGAAAUUGUCAUUUUCUAUAUUUUUUUAUUCAGUUGUAAUUAGGAAAAAAGGAAGAAAAAACCCUACUUACCCUCUUUCAUAACUUCAUCCGUAGUCCAACUACUAGAAUCAGAGAUCACCCUAAUCUUGGAUCACAUGCUAAAAGAAUUCUUUUGUCUAAUGAAGCACCGGUUUUUUUGUCUAAAUUUUCAGAGUAGAAUGCUGAAAUGCUCAUGGCACAUUUCACAAAAUUCAGAAUAAAACAAUUAAAGAGCAACCAAAAUAAUAAACAAAAAACUAAAUUAUAUGUCAAACAAUUAAUCAAUCAUAUUCUUCAUGCAACAAGGCCUCAAUCCAAUGAACUAACCAAAAAGCAAAAAAAGAAAAAGAAAAAAAAGAAUGAACACCAAAACUUCCAAAAAUUCUCUCAUUUUCUACCUUCAAUGGUUCUACUUUUAGAACCAUUUGGCAAAACCAUCAAGAGCAUAAACCAAAAGCAAAGACAAUGGAUACAGUAAGUAUGCAACGAUCGAUGUCCAGACUGGGAAGGUGGAGCGCAAGCUUGCAAACAUGCCCAUCACCACGCAUACGAUCAUAACAACGAGUACUUCAGCCGAGAAAUCCCAUGUCAAUUCGCGUACGUAAAUUAUGGACAAUAGUACUGAAAUCCCUAGGACAUUGUUCAUGAAGACUCCUCCAUAGAUCUGCAUAUCAUCACAUCACUAAGUAUUAAUCCUCCAAAGAUUAUAAAGCACUUAUACAGAUGCUAUCAGCCACAUUUCAUUAUCACAUGGACUAUAUAUACUUUUUUCUUUUUGUGCAUGUAAAUAUUAGCAUAUACUAGAUUGAUGAAAUGGAUCGGAAUAGUAAUUAUGGGGGGCAGACCUCAGAAAAUGUCAAGGAAGUAGUUCUUUCUUUUCUUCUACUCGCGGCGGAGAUCGCUGAAGUUGCAGCCCUAGCGUUGGUAGCUAACGGGACGAGGAUGAAUGCGAUGAAAAACGACGAUAUAUUAGCAGCUGUUGAGAAGGAUUGUACACUAUGUAUGAGGGGUUCUGCUAGAACAGAUAGAAUAAGAAUUCCAGCCAACAAAAGCAUUAUGGCCUUGAACCAUGCCCAAGGAGAUUUAUCAACUGGCCCUGCACUGGUCUGUUCUACCAACUCGUCUGUCUCUUUCCAAGCUUUCUGCAUCAUCAUGAAGUGUAUAAAUACUUUUAAUAUUGUUUCAAGGAGUCAAGGUAUUGUUUUUGGUGAAUACCUAACCCAAACCUAACCCGAACCUAACCCAAUAUAUAGAUGAGUUUUAACGAUCAUUUUCAAUUUUCGGCCCAAGCCUUGGACAACUCAAGUUUGACCCAAACUUCAUUUAAUAUUUUUAUAAUAUUUAUAAUGUAAAAUUUUUAAGAAAAAAAUAUUAAAUUAUAUUUUAUCAUAUAUUUUUAUAUUUUUAAAUAGAUAUAUAAAUUUAUUUAUUUAUUUAUUUUGCUAUCCUAAAAUUUUGUCUCAUUUGGGGUUUACAUUUUCAUAUAAAUAUAUAGAAAAAAUUUCUUAAAACACAUUAUAGAUGAAUUUUGAAUUUUACAACUUGAUCAACCCGGGUCUAAACUCACCAACCUAAACUUAAAAAAAUGGGAUUAAGUUGUGUCUCUUCCUUUAAAGGUAAAAUUGGGUUAAAUUUGGAUUUAUUUGUUUAUUUUUUAAUUUGAAUUUGACUUAAAUUGAUCAUCAACAUGAUCAAUCCGUCAAAGUUACAUUCACUUACAAGGAAUAUUUCGUCGUUCGGUUUGGGCGACUGCAGGGCCUGAUGGCUGGAAAUGUUAACCCAUUUGGCAAGGCCUUGGAUGAACUCCUCCUCAUCGAUUAAUCGGUCUCCAUUGACGUCAAGUUUUUCCAUUAUUCUUGCGACCGCUUCGUCUACGUCUAGCGGCAUGUCUCCAAACUUGAUGCUCAUAAUGAGUUCUUUUAGUUCAGCUUGUGAUAUGCAAUUGUCUCCAUCAAGAUCAAUUCUCUCAAAGAGGCUGUAAAUCGAAUUAGCGCAAGAGCCUUAGAACUAUUAUAUGGGUUCCAAGAAAUAAUAAGGAUAUGAAAAAAAAAUAGUAAGAAAAAUAAUUUUUUAUAUUUAAUUUUAAUAUAGGAAACAUAAAAAAAUUAAAUAUAAUUAAAAUUAAUUAGUUAAAAAUUUAUAUAAUUUUAAAUUAUUUAAUUUUUAUAUAAAAAACAUAAAAAUAAGUGAAAUAAAUUUAAAAUAAUAUAUAAAACUUGACAUUUUUUCCUUCAUAUUUUCUCUUAAGGUUUUCAUGAAUAAAAUAUGAUCUUAUAAAAAUUAAUAAUUCAAAAGAAUAUUCAACAUUUGAUUAAUCAAACAUCCUGAAUUCAAAUUUAUAAUUUAUUUGUUAUUACUUCCUAUCUAUUGAGCAUGCAUGAUAUAUAUUAUGACCCCAAAUCCGAACAACUUAAGAAAGUCCGUAACGCAACAUCCUUAAAAAAACCUUGUAACACGCAAGAACAGUCUAAUUAAAAGAAUUGUAAUAUGCUAUCUUACCUUUUUAUAUUUGCUAUAUCCGGCGUGUUAUCCUCUUUAAGCAGGCUUCCUAGGCCACUGUUUUGAACAUGUCUUAAAAUCCCAGACAUCAAUUUUUCCUUCAUUUCUUUUUCGUUCCUUCUCUUUAGAAUCCAAGGCCGAAGAACCUAAACAACAACUCGACCAAAUCAAAAACCAAAUAUUUGUUUGCUCAUUUGAAAAUGUUUUUAAAAACACUUUCAGUCUAAAUUUAAAGAAAAAAAAAAAAAGCUUCAACAAAAUUUGCAAAACACUUUUUAAAUAUUGAAAAAUAACUUUUAAUGUUUUGUCCGGAAAUAUUUGAUAAAUGAUUAUUCCAAAAACACUUUUAAGGAAAAUAUUUUCACUAAAUACUUAGAAUAGAAACACGGUUAAUAAACAUGCGUUUUAUAAUAAUUCUAGAAAGUGUUUUUAACUUCUUUUUUUUAAAUAUUUCAAGUAAUAGAAAGACUAGAACAACUUUUUAAAAUUGUUAUAGAUAGUCUUAACCCAUUUAAUAGUAAUUUUAUGAAAUGUUUUUAAUAUUUUUAAAACUUAAAUUUUUUUAUUAUUUAAGUAUUAAAAAUGUUAGAAAUAUUUUUUAAAAUCACUACUAAAUACAAGUGUAUGUUUGGUAGUGAUUAUUGGAAGUAUUUCUAAUAUUUUUAUUACUUGAAAUAUUAAAAAUAUUAAAAACGCUUCUUAUAAUCACUAUCAAAUAGAAUUUUAAUGUAAUUUAAUUUCACUAAAAAUACUUUGAAUACAAAUACUAUAAUUCGUUAGACAAUGAUUUAAAAAAACACUUUUAACAUAAUUAAAAGAGUUCUUGAACAAAACAAAAAGAAGGUAUUUAACAAAAUUUAAAAAACACUUUAAAAAAUCUAAAAUUAAAGAAUUAUAGCGUUUUCAAGGUAAACACUUGAUGAGCCAUUCUUUUCAAAACACUUAACAGAGAAAACCUUAUCAUUAAAAAUAUUCCGAAUAGAAACACUGUCAAGUGUACCAGCACUUCAAAAUCAACAUUAAUGUUGCAGACUUGCAGGCAUACCUGUUGUAGAUCUUUCAAUGAAUUAUUGGAGUAACUUCUGUCAUGCAAUCCUUUCUUUGUCUCAUCAAGCCAUUUUGAGAUCCCAGCUAUGAACUCAUCCUUUGUUAUUGUUCCGUCACCAUCAAUAUCAAACUGUCCUAGAACAUCUAGCACUGCAUCUUCCUUAUUGAUCAAGUGUGGUUUUCGAAACCUGAUCCCAAGAAGAAGCUCCUUGAUUUCAGCAGGCGAUAUAUAGUCAUCACCAUCAAGGUCUGUUUCCUCAAACAGCCUGCGAUUAGAUACAAGUAUAUGCUGUCAAACAUUUAAGUACAUAGAAAUACCGAAAAAUCAAGAUCAAAACAGUAUGGUAUACUUAAGGAAAGAUGAUCGCACCCUCUUAUAACACUUAUGUUCGGAGCUCCUUCGUCUGUGAGGAGUUUUCCUACAGCAUGUUCUUGGAAGUAUCGUAAAAUUCUUAUCACUAAAUGAUCAUGUUUUACGUACUCUAAUCUUCUUUGCUGAAUCCAAGGCUGAAAUAUCUGCAUAUUUUUCAAGUAAAAGUUUGAGGUAUAUUACAAAAAGUAAUGCAUCAAAAUGCAUAAUCCUAAUUCUUAAGUAAAAUUUUAAGGCACCGAAUCGAUUUCAUAAACUCCCGAUCCAAACGUAAGUAUAGAAAAUUUGUGUAGGUUAAUAAAGGUACAAAGAAAUGAGACAUAUAAUUAGAUAUACAAAAAAUAAAAUUAAAAUAUAAAUCAAUUUUGACCUAAUCAUGCUAAGGUACAAAUGAAUGACCAUUUUUACAAACUAUUUUCUUAUGACACUAAAAAAUAAUUUUAUAGUACUAAAAAUAACCUUAAAUAUGAUAUUGUAUAUAAGAUAGAGAAAAAAGUUUCUAAUACUAUAUAUGUAUGAGUUUCUUUUAACUUUAUAAACGUGUUUUAGAAUUGUGAAGACUUUUUGAGCUUAUAGUGAAUAAUAUUUAUAUAGUUAAGAACGAGUUGUUAUAGAAUAGUAUCAGAGUCAAUUCCUUACUUUGGUGUUGGAGUUUGUUUGACCCUGUUCUGGGUGUUUAUCUGUAUGAACUUGUAAUAUCAUGGAACACAAUGAAAACGUUAUAUUUAUAUGAGAGGAUCGUUGUAAUAUAUCACAUUUGAGAAGAAAAACAGUUAUUAAAUAUAUAUAUAUAUGAAUUCUUUUUAACUUUCUAAAUAUGUUUUAAAGUUGUAAGAAUUCAUUUAAACUGAUAAUAGACAAUAUUUAUAUAAUUGGAAGUGAGGUUUUAUACUAAACCUAAAUGCUAUUAUUAACCAUACAAAACCAAUCCUAGAAAAAUUGUUACUACUUUGUACCAAGAAGAUCGAAUGAAUGUUAUACUGAGAAUUCAAAUGGAUGUUAUAUGCUUCUACUGAAUUCUCAAUUUGAGUUCAUGUAUAUCGGACCAUUGAAUAAAAAUAUAAAGAAAUAGUAUUAAAGGUUUUUUUAAAAACUCUGAAAUACAAAUAAAUAAAAACUUUUUUGUCAUGAAAUUGUUUCUAAUGGCUAUCAUAUGCAUAUUGUGUUUAAGCUCUACUGAGAAUUAAUCCAAAAAGUUUGGAGAGUAUUAAUACCUGAUAGAUGAAGUAGAGGAGAAGAAAAAUAAGAGAAACAAUAAGAGUGAUCAAGAUCACAACGCGUUCCCCAUAAGACAAUUGGAAUAAUAUUGUGAUUUGGAUGAUGAUGAAUGGUAUUAUUGAUAGACCCAUGAUCCUUGCCAUGUACCCAGUUUCUUCAUCUGUUGCAAUCCCACUACCUUCAUACAUUUCACACAAUAUAAGGUUUUAUUUGAUACAUAUUUUUCUAAAACACUUUUCUAUUUUCUAAAAAAUAUAUUUGAUAAUUAAAAAAUAAAAAAUAAAAAAUAGAAAACAGUCUUAUAUUCUUAAAAUAAAAAAUAUGAUAUUUUUAAAGUUAUUUUCAUAAAUAUAGAGAAUGAUAUAUAAAAGUUAUUUAAAUUUAUUUAAAAACAUAGAAAAUAAAUUUAAAAUAUUCUCAACUUUUGUUUUAUAAAACUGUUUUAAAAAAUUGUCUUCAAAACCUGUUUUAAAAAAUGAUUAUCAAAUAAGGAGAGAAGAAACAUGUACCCGUUAACAUCAAUAAUAUUUUCCGAUAUGGUUUUUGUAAUAAAUUUGCAUCAACCGUAGCGCCCGAACCAGCGCCGGGAAACUCACAACUCCCAACAAUGACACAAGUGCCCCAAAGUACAGUGAGGAGCAAGAUCGUCGAUCCGGCCAACAAGCCGACGGCGGUGAGCACAUACUCUUGAGCAGUGUCUUUGCUGUUCAGAAGUCCAGACGCUGAAAUGGUUCAGAGAAAAACAUUGUUACAGCUAAUUAAUUUUCAUUGCACCAACCCAACCCCCUCCCCCCUUUUUUCUGAGGUAUAUAAAUUUUAAUUAAUUGAAAUCAAACUAUAUUCAAUGGAUGAUUCAUGAUUGUGGCAUCCACGAUUCAAAUAAUCAAAUAUGAGAAAUCUUUUGCGUGUUACCACAUACUUUUGACUACUUCAAAUCGUACAAAAUUUGACUAAAAAUCAUAUUAUUUUUCUUCAUUGUCUUUGAAGUUUAGGAAUUAGAUUAUUACACGACUAAUGCUGUUCAACAAUCGAUAUUAAUGAAGAUGAUGAUAAUGUGUACGAAUUUUUUUAAAAAAAAUAUUUUCUUAUUUUUUAUUUUAUUAUAAACAAUAUAAAAAAUAAAAUAUAAUUAAAAUUGUUAAAUUUUUUUUAUAUAAUUUAAAAUUAUUUAAUCUCUAUAUAAAAAAUUAAAAUAUUAUAUAAAAAUAAUUUAUUAAUUUUAUUUUAUUUUUUGUAUGUAUAUUUUAAUUUUAAAGUGUCAAACGGGGGUAGAUAUAUUAAAUGGAAGUGGUCUUCAGUCUCCACAUGACAUAUAGGAAGAAGAAGUUAGGGAUAAAAAACAAAAAUAUUAAAAUUUUAUAAUAAUUGAAAAUGUAAUUUUUGAAAAAUGAUAAGUUUAUUAAAACAAAUUUUUCAAAACUAUAAUUUUUUUUAAUCAUGUUUAAAGAAUUAGUUUAAUGAAAUACAUAUAAAGAAAGUUUGAAUAAAACCCUUAAAAUUUUAUCAUAUAUUUUCCUUGGUUUUUAUAAUAUAAAGAAAAAAAAGGGUUUCUAUUCAAUUAAAAUAGGAAAACAUAUUUAACAAUUGGAAAACAAAAAACAAUUUUGAAGUUAUUUCAAGCAUUCUUACAAUUUAAUUUUAGGAAAACACUUCCUAAACAAAGCCGUAAAUUUUAAUUCAAAAAUUAAAAAAAAAAAAAAAAAAAAAGGAAGAGGAAGAAGAAGACAUGGCAAAGAGUUGAGAAAACUUACCAAGAAGAAUCAAGGACUCAGGGAGAGCACCAAGGACCUGAAACACACUGGCACCAAACACCCCAGGCCCCAAAAUCUUGAAAAUCUGCUCACCCCCAGAUGCCACAUAUGACUCUCCAUGAAACAUCAAGUAUUCAUACACAACAAUUAGGAACAGAUGCCCAAAAAUAUUGUUGCUGCAUGGCAAAAACCCAUACAAUUGCUCACAUUCCUCUGAAGAAUACUCCAUUCCUCUCAACACCAAAACUGAAGACUUCUGCCCUUCACCCUCAUCAACCCCAUCUGAUACCAACUCAUGAGGAUACCCAUUGAGCCCUAGAGGGCGCCCUCUUACAUCAACAAUAAUGAAAAGGUAAAUAAGAAAAAUAGAGAAUGUUCUAUUUUUUGGAAUUUUCCACAUCUUGCAGAGAUGAACAAGUUGGAUGAGGAAGAAGAAAAUGGAGGAUGGGAUAUUUUAUGGAUAACAUAUAUGGGGUUUAUAUAUAUAUAUAAAUGUAUAAGUAUGAGUUAAUAUGUAUCCAUGAAUUCUUUGUAAUUACGUGAAUAUAUAACUUGUCAACAAGUUUAUGUUCAUAAAGUCAAGGACUUGUUCAUUAGUUUGAAUAUAUUGAUUUGAUAUUGGAGAAAAAGAAAAAAGGGAAAACCCCCAAAAACCCAUAUCCCCAUUUUCUUCUUUGAUGCAUGGCAGCCCUGCUAGGGUUUUGCACAUACAAAAGGAAAAUGAAAACCUUUGCAGACAAAAUUGAAAUAGAACCAUUUAUUGAUAAGAAGAAGAAGAAGAAGAAGAAGAAGAAGAAGAAGAAGAAGAAGAAGAAGAAGAAGAAGAAGAAAAUGUAUUUCAUUAAAAUAUACAUAGACCAAGUCCCAAGUUUUCUUUUGACAUAAGUUUUAUACAUGUAUAUGAUUAAACACGAGGUUGCUUGUAAGUUUAAUAGAAUUUACUAUGCUUAGACCGUUCAUGCCAUUGACCUAGCUGUCAAAGUCUGCUAAUUAGUGCUUCCACGUAUUAUUAUUGAUGAGGUGGUGGAUGGCAGCCAUCGAUCUUUGAGGUUGGUUGGUUUGAUGAGAUUAGGUUGCCUUGAUUUUGGGUUGGCUUGCGUGGAGUCUUGUUGGGGCGGCUCAUUGUCAUAUCAAAAGCUUGUGAAAUAGGAAACUCAAGAAAUUUCAAAGUUCUACAGUUUCUGAUAAAGCUUCAAAGAGGCAGCAUAAUGGUUUUUAUUUGAAACCUAAAAUCCAAAUAAUAUUUUUUUGUCGGAUUUUAUUUAGACUUAUUCAUAGUUCAAGUAAAAGAACAAAUAUGAUCUUAGUUCGUGAUACAAUAUCAAAUUCAUCUUUCAUCCUUUAAAAAGCUAAGAAUAGUCUUCGUGUUUGUUUUAUUUAUUUAUUUAAAUAUAAAUAUACAUAUAAAUUAAUUUAAUUUAACUAUAAAUACAACUUAAUAGUAUGUUUGUUUUUUCACAAUGAAAGUUGAGUGUGAGGGUUGAGAAUCAUAAGUAUGAUUAAUUAACAUUUUAGAUUAAAUAAAAAAUUACAUAUUUUAGAUUUUUAUAUUAAGAUAAAAAUAUUGAUAAACAAGUUAAAAUUUAAAAACAAACAACUGAAAACUGAAAGUAAAUUGCAUUUAACAUUAAGUUAAGAAACAAACACCACCUUAAUUGGAUAAUUAGAUAAAAUUUAUACUGUAAAUACAAUCCUUAGUAUCACAAUAUAAAAUAUUAAAUAACAUAAUAUUAUUUAGUUAUUUUUUGAAUAAUUUUAUUUGAAAUUUUAGGCUUAAUUUGAAGGGCCUAGUAAAGCUGGGCCCACUCAACCCAUUCCUGGCCCAUUAUCAGGGUAGGGCAUGGCCCAAGAGAUUACUACCCCCACUUUUGAAUUCAAGCUCUUUGAUUGUUUGAUCAACAUUCAACAUUCAACAUUUUUAUACUACUACUAUAUGAGGAAAGUUAUUAUUCCCAUUUUUUAUUGUUAAUAUUCACAUAAAAUUUUUCUUUAUUCUAUUAGGAAUAUUUUCCAUGAAUUUAGUAAGAAUAUAUAUAUAUAUUUUUUAUAUUUGAUUUUAUUAUGAAAAAUAUGAAAAAAUAAAUAUAAUUAAAAUUAAUUAAAUUUUUAUAUAUUUUCAAAUGAUGUAAUAUAUAAAAAAAUUUAAAUGAGAUAAAUAAAUUUAAAACGAUAAAUAAAAAUAUUUUAUUAACUUUAAAUUUAUUUUUAUUUUCUUUCCUUCUAUUUUCUUUUUCUUACAUUUCCCCUUAAUUUUUUUGAGUAACCAAACAUAACAUAAAUAAUUUUUAUUCUUCCUUUAUAUUUCAUACUACUAUAUACAAAUUAAACAAAGCAAUUCAUAUUUAUUUCUAUUUAAUUAUGAUUUUUUUUGAGAUUUUCCUUAUUCCAAAGAUAGUACAAAAUUUUACUUAUGUCUAGGCUUAACCUAAUCCAUUCAAAUUAAUUUCAUGAUCUCGAAGUUGUCUAACUAAACCUAUGUUCACUUGCUUAAGUUUUAACUUAAUUUUAAUUAGAGUAAGUCACGUUUAAGAUCUUACUUUAAUAAAUGGUUUUCAAGUUUGGGUUGAGCUCCAUAAAUAUCAACUAUUCUUCCCUUAAUUAUUAGAUGAUCAAGAGAAAACUGAAAAUUUCAAGAUCAACCAAGCCUAGCUUGUUGCCAAUAACCUAAAACCUCAUUUGGGCCAUGAGGGUUCUAACUUUGGAUAGGGUGUGUUGAGGCCCACCCAAUCCAUGUUUAGUGAAGGUUGGGAUUUUUUAAAAUUAUGAAUUUUUAAAAUAAAAUUAAUGACAGUGUAUUUUGAAAGGUGACAGUGUCAAAACUAUUUUUAAAAUUACAAUACUUUUUAAAACAUCAAUCUUUUGAAGAGAUAAUUUCAAUUCAAAUAUUAAAAUUAUUUUUUCAAAUAACAACUCCAAUAUUCAAUUAAAAUUAUAUUUUGAAAAGAAAUUUUUUGAAAAUGUUAUUUGAAUUAUUAUAUUUAAAAAAAUAUUUUUAAAUUUGUUGUUUUUUCCCCUCAAAAUCCCUGAGAGGUACAUCUCGUUACCUUCUCAAUGGCUUUCUUCUAUUUUUGAACCUUCUCUCCUGUCCUUUAGUAAGAGCAAGUUGGAAUAUGACAAUUCCAUACUUAUUCUACUGUCCAAAGUUUGUGGGCCCAAAAAAUACCCCCAAUGAAGAAUAAGAGCCAUAAGAAUAUAAAUAUUAAAAAAAGUAACCAUCCUUAUCCACCUUAUAAAAAUAUAAUUUUUUUUUAUAAUAAUUUCUAUAUUUAUUAUUUAUCAUGAAAAAUGCUUAAUUCGCAUGAAAAAUGCUGUGAUUUACUGUCUUAAAUUGAAGCUUUGCUUGUGUAAUUUGCAAUAAAUUUUACAUAUUCACUUACAAUAUGAUUUUUUUUUUUUGUAAUAAAGAUAUUAAAUUUAUAUAUAGAAACUAUUUCAUAAUUUAUUGUAUCAGAGUCCAAAAAUCAAGCAAAAUCCUUAUUUCCAGGAAAGGAAGGAGAUCGGAGGUCUUGAAGAAGUCAUUGCAGCAAAUGUUGAUAAUUCUCACCUUGGAAGCAAUGUCUCUUGGAAGUGGAUUAGAAUUCCAUUUGCAUUUGCAUAUAUUUGAAUUGGUCACUUGGAAAUUUUGUCUUUUUGUCAAGAAUCUCAGUACUACCACCCUAUACCAUUAAAUUUGCAAAUUAAAUUUUUAUGUAUUAAAUAUAUAUAUAUAUAUAUAUAUAUAUAUAUAUAUAUAUAUAUAUAUAUAUAUAUAUAUAUAUAUAUAUAUAUAUAUAUAAUUUUCUUGUAUAAGUAGAUGUCUUUCCAACCUAGGCACCAUUAAUUACUCAUUAUUAUAUUCCAACAAUCUAUCAAUUUCAACAUAUGCUUUGAUUUUUCUCAAGAUUCAAUUCCCAUCUCCAAGAGGUUUCACAUUGAAACCAUGCGACAAAAAAAACCCCACAACUCAUAAUUAAUUAAUAUAUCCUAAUAAAUUCAUUGUAAUUUAAUGUUUCCCAUAUGCUUAAUUUGUAUUAAAACAUUUUUUUAAUAAAUGGUGAGAAUUCUAAAAUAAAUUGAGAAAAAUAUAAAUAAAAUGACUUCUAUUACCAUAUAGUAAUCUUAAAAAAAAAAAAAAGAGAGAGAAUGAGGAAUUAUGAGACCAUAGAGGUGAUGAGUUAAACCUCCUUCAAAGAUUCCGUAGCCACUCUUUCAUGACUUUCUUCCUCAAGUGAACAGUUUAUUGAUCCAUAGGAAAAUCCAACAAAGAUAUUUUGUAUGAACCUUCAUGAGAAAUUAUCUCCCCAAAUACCAUUCAUUUUUGCGGCUGCACCCCAAUUUGACUCCAUGAGAUGCUUCUCCCAAUUAUUUGGACUUGCCUCACUCAACAUGCAAUCAAUCUUGAUUAGCUUGUUAAUUUGAUUUGAAAGUUUGGUUUGAUAAAUAAUUUAUUAAUACAUGAAAUCGAAUUAGAUUAAAACCUUAACAUACUGUCUCAUUGGUAAGCAGACAAGGUAAGCACAUUAACUCUGAUGGAUAAAUUAUGAUUAAUAUUAUACUUGAACUCUACAUAAACUAAAACCUUAACACCCUUUGCUUACCUAUCUAGAAAAAUAAAUAUCAUCGAGCUUUAAUUCUAUGAAAAUCAAUUCAAAAACUUAAACCAUUAAAUAAUGAACCAGUAAUAUAUAUCAAAUAAAGUAUAAUUAAAAUCCUAACAUUUGAAGUACAUAUCACUUUCAAACUUUUUGUUUUUUUGACAAAAAUCUUUGAAGGAUUCUCUCAACUAGAUGCGUAAAAGUUGAGUAUAAUUUUCGUAUAUGUUGUCAAACUCCACUUGUUGACAUGAGCUAACAAACAAAAAUAGGCGCCUAAUCCAUCUUUUCAUAAAUUAAUCUCGAAGUCGUAUAAAUGGACUAUAGACUUUGAGGCCACCAUCAGGAAAAUUAAGAACUAUGAAAUUAAGGUCUCAACUCUGUUCAUUGCCCAAACUACAAGAAAAUGGAUUCAUUUCUCUUCUCCUUCAUGGCCACAAUUCUGUUGCUUCCAGGAGCAGCAUCCGAAGUAGGCACCGGCCAUAUGGGCAGUAUUGGUGUCAUCGUCGAUAAUAGUUCGCUUAUCGGUAAAGAAGAGAUAGUAGCAAUGAAGUUAGCCAUCUAUUACUUCAACAACAAAACUAAUCGACAAUUGGAUUUGCAUGUGAGAGACUCUCAAAGUGAUCCAGUUCUUACUUUGCUUUCCGGUAAACUCCACCAAUCUAAUUAUCUUUCAGUGAUUCGAAGGAAACUUAAUUUGAAGAUGUACUCGAUAAUUAAUUUGAAUGAAUUUUGUUUGUAACUUUCGUAUGUAUUCUGAGAUGCAGCCAGAAAUCUGAUCAAGAAGCGGAGAGUGCAAGCUAUUAUCGGCCUUGAUACAUGGGAAGAAGCAUCUUUAGUUGUGGAGCUUGGUAGUAAAGCUCAUAUUCCGAUUGUUUCCUUGGCUGAUGCAGCUCCGCAGUGGGCAACAGAUCGCUGGCCGUUCCUUGUUAGAGCCUCGCCGGAGAAACACCUGCAAAUGAAAGCUGUGGCAGCCAUUAUCGGGUCUUGGGGAUGGCGUCGGAUCAAUGUGAUAUACGAGGAUACCAACUCUGCUGGCUCUGAGAUCAUUCCAUUUCUUGCUGAUGCCCUCAAGCAAGUUGGUUCAGAAAUCGGAUACCUUGCAGCUCUCCCACCAUCAUCUGCAGUUAAUUCUUCUUCUUCUUUAUCUGAUCAGCUCCAAUGGCUUAAAGGAAAGCAGUCACAAGUCUUUGUGGUUCAUUCAUCUUUAUCAAUGGCGGAGCGUUUGUUUUCAAAAGCUAAUGAAUUGGGCAUGAUUGGAAAGGAUUCUGUUUGGAUCACUACAGACAGCAUCACAAAUCUUGUACAAUCCAUGAAUUCCUCAGUCAUCUCUUCCAUGGACGGUGUUCUAGGAGUGAAGAGCUUCUUCCAGGAAGACGGAGCCCGGUUCCAAGACUUCUGCUCCAGAUUUCGACAGAAGUUUCGAUCACUGUAUCCUAAGGAAGACAACCACGAGCCUGGGAUUUUCGCCGUUCAGGCAUAUGAUGCUGUGUGGUCUGUUGCUCUAGCAAUGGACAACAACGGGUCGACCCAACAAUUGUUAGAAAAGAUUGAACUCAGCGAUUUCCAUGGCCUCACAAACAGAAUCAAAUUUGAGAGACGACGCUUGGCUCCACAGCGCAUGUUUCAGAUUGUUAACGUGAUUGGAAAAAGUAAUAGAGAGCUCGGAUUCUGGUCGGAGGGAUCAGGCUUCGCCAAGCCUACUAAUGGUCAAAUUCAAAACAGUAGCUCCAUGGACAUCCUGGGGCAAGUGUUUUGGCCAGGAGGCCCUACUUCCACCCCAAGAGGAUGGGCAUUUCCUACAAGCGAAACCCCAUUGCGAAUUGGAGUGCCCCUCAAUGCCACAUUCAAACAAUUUGUUUCUGUAAACUACGAUAUUGAUGGAGGCCAUCGAUCGGUUUCGGGUUCUCAAUCGAAGUCUUCAAAGCAGUUCUGAAACAUUUAAAAUACAAUCUAUCUUAUGAGUUUUUUCCCUACAGUGGUACCUAUGAUGAUUUGGUGGAACAGGUUCAUCUCAAGGUGAGAGAUUUGUUCAUUCUCCUUACUCUUAACUCCAUUUUAAGUUACAUUACUAAUACUUUUCUAUACGUAACAUAUAAAAUUGUAUCUAUGUGAAGAAAUUUGAUGCAGUGGUAGGCGAUACGUCGGUAAUUUCAAAGAGAUGGGAUCUGGCCGAAUUUUCGUAUCCCUACACAGAACCAGGAUUGCUGAUGAUAGUUCCUGAGAAAGUAGAGACAUCCAAUAGGGCUUGGUUAUUCAUGAAGCCCUUCACCAAGGUGAUGUGGGUUCUAACAGGUGCUAUAACCAUCUACAAUGGCUUCACCCUCUGGUUGAUAGAACGAAACCAAAACCCAGAACUUAUGACAGGCUCUACUCUGAACCAAAUGGGAACCUUGGUUUGCCUAUCCUUCACCACCCUCUUCUCUAUGCAUGGUAAGGGCUAUAAAUCAUCCAUUUCAUCUACUGUAUCUGAAACUGAACAUAUCACUUCUCAUAUAGAAUUAGUAUAUAAUUUUGUUGCAUGUAUCCAUUUCUUUCUUCAAUGCUAUGAAAAUCAUGAGGGUUCUGAUGAUAUUUCCAAAUGCACAUUUUAUGUCAUAAUUUCAAGCCAAUUUAACAUAAUAAUUGCUCUUGAUAGUUUUAUCUGAUGAAUUUUUUCGUAUCCCAUUGUUCAUAAUGUAACAUGGAAGAUGGGGAUUGAGGCUGUACAGGUCUUUAAGGUUCCCUCAUGCAUUUAUCUUUCUGAAUCACAGGAGGAAGGCAACAUAGUAAUCUGUCCCGGUUGGUAAUGGUGGUCUGGCUGUUCGCAUCUCUGGUGAUAACGAAUAGCUACACUGCUAAUCUUACCAGCAUGCUUACGGUCCAACGCCUUGAACCUACUGUGGUCGAUGUGGAAGAUCUGAAGAGUGCUAAUUCCAUUGUUGGGUGCAGCAAACGAUCAUUCGCGGUGAGGUAUUUGGUGGAUGUCAUAGGAAUAAAAAUGAGAAACAUAAAAGAUAUCACUUCAGCUGACCAGUAUGCUCGAGAUCUCAGAAGCGGAGAGAUAGCAGCAGCCUUCAUUGAAGCUCCCUACGCCAAAAUAUUCCUUGCCCAAAACUGCAAAGGCUUUGCUGCUUCUGGGAAAACAUACAAAGUUGGUGUCUUUGGAUUUGUAAGUCCCUAUAUUCCUUUAUAGCUAACUCUCCUUUCUCCAUCUUACUCAAAUUUUCUAAGAUCAAAGGUGAGCCUAUCAACCUGCCAUUCAAUGCCAUUUGGGCUGUGUUUCUUGAAAAAGUACAUCAGGGAGAUUAUCACUGAGAGCAUUUUUGCAUUAGGGCUCAAUUGGGUGGUGGUUUGUUUUCUCUGAAGUCCCAAAUCAAUAGAAGAUUUCUUCCCUUUUCCCCAACUUUUCUCAGCAACCAAACAUGCAGAACUGAAACCCAUUUAGCUGCACCAAACCAAAAUUAAUUAGUCUAUCUAGUGUAUGAUUAUUAAUAUGAUUGAUUAAUUAAUUUGCUGAUUUUUUCAGGUGUUCCCAAAGGGAUCACCUAUUCUUCCAGACAUAUCUAAAGCAGUCUUGGAGGUGACUGAAAAUGGUGAGUUACGUGAAUUACAGAACAUGUUGAUUGGAUCCCAGAAGUGUAAUUCAAAUAUUACAGAAACCAGUGAGGAUAGCAGUAGUCUUAGCCCUAGCAGCUUUUGGGUACUUUUCUUAAUAACAGGAGGUGUAUCAACAGUUUGUCUUGUAAUCUUCAUGGCCAGAGAAAGGUUAACCUAUUUGUAUAAUUAUUCGUUGGGGCAUAUGGCCAUUUGGAGACUAAUAUCAGCUGUAAUGAGAAGCUGGAGAUCACAUCCACGUGAGCGAUUCUCUAGAGGAAUUAGCGACGAAGAAAGUAAUGGAAAUGGCCAACACACAUCUAUGCAUUCACCACAAUACUUUGGAUAUAGAGUGCCAUGGCAGAGAAAUUACAGCUCCAGAAGUUCUUCCUAAAUUCACAAGCUAAAUCAACCCCAAAAAAUAAAAAUUUUAGAGGAUGCUUGGGAAACCAUAACCCAUAUGUGAAUGCAUUUAAGCACAGAAUUUAUAGCAUAUUUUCUGUAUGUUUGUGCUCUGUGAAAUGCAAUAUAAUUCUUAUUUUUAAAAUGCAUUUGUGUAUUAUUGUACGUACUGUUUUAGAUAAAGCAAUAUAUAAAUACUCUUGAUUUUGUAUGUAAAAUCAUAUAUUAAUAUGAUAGAUUUAUACUUGGUUCUUGUUUGGAGCUUAAAGCCCAUCUGUUGACAAGUAUGCGAAAGGAAAAGCAAGCUUAAAACUGAUGAUAAACCCUAAAAAUCUAGACACUAUUCAAUUAAAAAUGAAAAAGAAACAUAUAGCAAAACUAUAUAAAUGAUGAUUCAAUGUCUCUCAAGGACAAGUUCAAGUUAUCAAAACCAUCAAUUUUUCCUCCUUUGGUAAUUACUGUAAGGGUGGUAACCAAUUCUUUUUUGAAACUUCUAAGACUUACCUAAUCCCAUGCUGCCCUAAUACCAAUUGAUAUUCAAGAUCAGCUAAUUAUUGGUGAAUAAUGCAUAAUUGUAUAAAUUUAAGGUUAUAGUCAUGAUCUUUAGAUCCAACCAAGAGGAAUGGUAGAUAUCACCAAGUUUUCCUUGACUUUUCCUCAUUGGGCGAAUGAAUGGUUGUAAGCCCUUUGUCAAUUUAAAGAGAUACAUAAUCAAGAGAAAGACAUGAAUGAUAAGAUUUUUCCGUGUGGAGCAAUGAAAUCGAAUGAGAUGAAUUGACGAAAGCUAUUUAAUUAGUGAGUGAUUAAGAAUUGUAGAACAAGGGAAUAAUCUUAAAUUUUAAUUUUGUCAGUCAAUCCAGAUACAAGUAUAACUUAUAAUAUUAUAAGGCAUAGUCAAGACUCCCAUGACCUGGAAUUAGCAUGCAGUGGCAUUUGAAUUUAUCGUCUCCUCAAUAUAAAAUUGUUACCUAAAGGCAUUUUGUCUACUCUACACGUCAAGCUAUUGAGACAAAAAAUUAAGAGUUUCAGAACACAUUAAUGGUAGUUAGCAACGAAUUCAAUGUCAAGAUUCUAAUCUCAGGAUUCUUUGAUAACAAAGGCAUUGACUUAGUCUAAGAUUACUUGAUAAAUUCAACAUUCUUUGAUCAAUGCAUGUAUAUAUUACUAUGACGAAGAAAUAAAAAAUUCUAGUCUCAAUAGGGCCUGUAUAUUUGAACAAGUCAAGUGUUUCAAUCAAUCCACAUAUAUGAAGAGAAAAAAUCAAAGGACAUGCAUGUUUACCAAUUUUCAAGCUUUGUUUCUAGUGAUAGUAUAUACCAAAUAUACUGGCAAUUCCAAAUAAGGAACCCUCCAAAGUCACAUGUUUAUAGUCCUGUCUAAACAGGUCAUUCCAUGAAAAUUGAUAGUAUAUAUUUGUUGUCUUGUGCCUGUUGGUAUAUACUGGAUUAAUUAAUGUAUCUAGAAAGCAGCAAAGGAAUUCAAUUCAAACGAAAGCAAUGUGAUUUGACAACAAUAUUUGAAAAAUUAAUACACCCCAAGGUCUUACAAGUUUAACCGAAGAACAACGUUAUGUAACAAUAAAUGCAUCCUUUACUAAUGAUCAGUGAAGCAUUAACAACGUAGCGCGGUAGUUCUAGAAUUCUUCGUCUCAGACCUAGGGGUGGAGCCAGUACUGAUCAAUUGGUCCACAAGAUUGGGGUUCAAUUCUUUGAAUCAUGCCCCAUAAGAUGGGCUUCAACUCUUAAAGUUGACCCAGUAAGCGAAAAAAAAGAAGACAAAUGAGGCAAAGAAAGGAAAUUAAAGCAUUCUUAUCCAUAUAUAAAGGAAAGGGACCAUGGUGGCAAUAGCUGUCCUUUUAGUCUUCACAAAAUGGGCAUAUUGUUUUCUCUCUUCUUCUCUUUGUUGGUCUUAGAUUUGUUGUUUCUGCAAAUGGCAACAGCCGAUGGAGGCACUGACUCAAUUGAAAAAGCUGAUGUCAAGGGAAGUAUUGGAGCUAUUCUAGACUAUAGCUCGCGCAUUGGGAAAGAAGAGAAGGUAGCCAUGGAGAUGGCUAUAGAGGAAUUCAACUCUCAGUACUCCAACCAGCAUAUUGACCUGCUGAUAAAUGACUCUCAAGGGGAACCCAUCCAAGCAGCACUUGCAGGUAAGUCUAUCGGUUCAUCUCCUUUAAUUUCUGGCAAGUAAUGAGAGUUCUCUACAGUACCAUGUUUGACAUUGAAAUUCAGUUCCCAUGACCACAUCCUAGUUUGCAAUAGAUCUUGUUCAUGCAUAUAUACUAUAUUUCUGGGCAAAUUAUAGAUGACUCAGGACAUAGCUAGGGCAUUCAGAAACAGACAUAUAUAUAUAUGCUGAAAUGUUCAUGAGGUUCAUAUAUAUGACAAGAUAUUGUUAGUGAUAAAUGCGUUUUUGGAAAUGAAUUUUACAUAUAUACAACUAUGAGAACUGGUGGUUAACACUGGGCAGAUUCAUUACCUACUUAGCACUCCACUUAAAGCUAUGAAUUCGCAUUAGUUUUCUGGGAAAUGAAAGGAGUUACUAAAGGAACUAACCAUAAUAUUUUGUGCUUCAUCAGCAUCUUAGCAUAUCCGUACAUCCAUACAGACUUGACCCAUAAGCCAUGAGGAAAGAACAAAUUAAAACAGUUGCUUUUUGAAUGAGUUUGCAUAGCAUUGUGAAGAAAUUAAGUAAACAACAAAUUACAAAGAAAUCAUGGUGUACUAAUAUAUAUAGGACAUAUAUACCAAGUUUUUACAGCUUGUUUGUGAAGUAUUCAUAGGCAGGAAUGGUUUGAUUUCAGUACAUACAACAAAAAAAGAAUCAACCAUUUUUGGCCUUGUUUUGCAUAUUAGUUUCAUUAUACAUAUAUAUAGUACUGAUAUUGUUUUGAUAGUGAAAUUAUCAAACCAUGUAGAAGCUGCUACACUUCUACUAAUACUGCUACUACUACCACCACUCCUACUGCUGAUUUUUUGAACAUUGUUGCAUCAAUAUACAGCACUGGAGCUUGUAUACAGGCAUCGAGUAAAAGCAAUUCUGGGGCCCCAAUCAUGGGAAGAAGCAUCCUUAGUUGCAGAGGUUGGCAGUCAAGCUCAUAGCCCCAUUCUUUCUCUUGCCUAUGCAACUCCACAGUGGGCAACAGAAAGGUGGCCCUUCCUCAUCCAAGCCUCUGCAGACCAGUCUUGCCCAAAUGAAAGCCAUUGCUGCAGUUAUUAAGUCUCAGGAUUGGCAUCGGGUGACCGUAGUAUAUGAGGACAUCCCGUCCUCCGCCACUGGAGCCGUUCUCCAACUCUCAGAAGCCCUGAAAAAUGUAGGAAUAGAAAUAGGCCACCUUCUGCCUCUCCCACCUUUGUCUUCUUCUUCUUCAUUGGUUGAAGAGCUCCAGAGUCUUAAAGAAGGGCAGCGUAGAGUGUUUGUGGUUCAUACAUCCUUGCAAUUGGGGGUUCACCUAUUCGAAACUGCCAAGAAGAUGGAGAUGAUGAAAGAAGUGUAUGUAUGGAUCAUUACAGACACCAUUUCCAGUCUUGUCCAUUCCGUAAAAGCCUCUACCAUCUCCUCAUCCAUGGAUGGAAUUGUAGGUGUCAAAAGCUACUUCAUUGAAACCACACCCCAUUUCAAGAUAUUCCGGGGGAGAUUCAGGAGGAAGUUCAUCUCAGAACACCCAGACGAAGAAAAGAAUGAACGCGGGAUUUACGCAGCUAAGGCCUAUGAUGCCACUUGGGCUGCAGCUCUAGCGAUGAAGGAAGGGGUACCGAUACUGGCCAACAACUGCUAGAAAAUAUUUCAAACGGCCAAUUUGAUGGCUUAACUGGAAAGAUCCAAUUCAGCGAUCAGAAAUUAGCCCCAACACAUAUAUUUCAGAUCAUCAAUGUUGUAGGGAAGAGUGAUAGAGAACUAGGGUUCUGGUCCUAGACAUCGGAGGAGGAGUCAGGUUUUUGGGGAGAUGGAAGAGCUCUGGCACAGGUGAUUUGGCCUGGGGGACCCAGGAAUACUCCAAGGGGAUGGACGACUCCAACAGAUGAGAAGCCACUGAAGACCAGUGGGUCCACUUUCAAACAGUUUGCAGAAGUGACACAAGAUGGAAAUAAUAUUGCUUUCAAAGGAUUCUCAAUCAAUGUCUUCAAUGCAACUAGGGGUCUCCAAAAAGCCCGCGGCCCGCUUUAGGCCCGGCCCGGCCCAAGCCCGCCGGGCCCAAGCUCGGCCCGAGCCCGUUUAUGGGCGGGCCGGGCCGCGGGCCUAAAUUUAGGCCCGGCGGGCCGGCCCGCCCUUAGGCCCGCCUUUAAUUUUUUUUUUAAAAAUAAUAUACUAUAUUUUUAUAUAUAUAUAACUAAUUCAUUUAAUAAGCACAAAAGAAAUGUAGCUCAGUUGGUUAGAGCCUUAAAAUUUAAGCUUGAGGGGAGGGGUUCGAAUCCCCCCCUCUUCCUUCCUUUAUUUAAAAGCCAUUUUGGCUUAUUUAAAAAAGCCCGUUGGCCCGGCCCGCCCAGCCCGCCAGCCCGCAGGCUCAUAGGCCGGGCCGCGGGCCUAGCAUUUGAGCUCGGCCCGGCCCGUUGACCAGUCAACGGGCCCAUAGGCCCGGCCCGCCCAUUGGAGACCCUUAAAUGCAACUGUGGAACGCUUGCCAUAUGCUUUGCCACAUAAGUUGUAUGCCUUCAAUGGCACAUACGAUGAACUAGUGAGACAGGUUUAUUUGAAGGUACGAGAUAUGCUGUCUUCUUAAAGGUACGAGAUAUGCUGUCUUCUUUCAUUCAGUUUCUUGCUCUUCCGAUUUGAAAGGUCUGUUCGGUGAUACUUUAUUUUUAAUCAUUUUCCAUGUUUGUACCAUCAUUUUUCAAAAACUGUUUUUUGUCAAUUUUUAUUUAUUUAUCAAACCUAUACCGCUUUCAAUUUAAAAACAAUUCCCAAAUAAACUCUAAGGUGGUGUUUGUUUUUUGGCUGAAUAAAAAAAGUAAAAUAUUUUGGCUUUUUCUAUUCGGCUAAAAGUACCUUAUUGAUACUAACCAACAUAAUUAAAGUGAAUUUCUUAUUAAUAAGUUUAGUUUAAUGAUGUUGGUUGAUGUCAAUGAGUUACUUUUAGCUGAAUAGAAAAAGUUAAAAUAUUUGGUUUUUUCUAUUAAGCCAAAAAACAAAUACAACCUAAGUCUUAUUCACAUAGAACUUGUCCAUAUUUGUAUAUUUACUUGAAACUCUGCAAAUGUGAGCAGAAAGUUGAUGCAGUAGUUGGAGAUGUUGCAAUAGUAGCCAAAAGGUUUGAGCAUGCAGAGUUCACACAACCUCAUGCUGAACCAGGAUUGCAGAUGAUAACCCCAGUUCGAUCAAAAAGCAGCAAUAAAGCAUGGCUAUUCAUGAAGCCCUUCACAAGAGCCAUGUGGAUUCUAAUAACAUUCAUAAAUGUCUACAACGGAUUCGUGGUAUGGUUGAUAAAAAGAAACCAGUACUGCAAUGAACUUAAAGGCUUAGUCCUCAAUAAAAUAGGAACCCUACUUUGGCUAGCCUUCUCAACGCUCUUUUCUCUGCAUGGUAAGAAGAAAUCCCUACAUAUCUUAGAAAUUUAAGGCAUAUUUGGUAACUAUUUUUUAAAAUAGUAUUUGAUUCUUUAAAGAAAAAAAAACCAAGAAAAUACAUUUAACAGCCUGACAAAACAAAAACCAAUUUUCUCAAAAACAAAAAACUUGAUGUAUAAUCUUUUAAUGGUUUUCGAUUGUUUUCUAUAGCGUUUUAAAAAAUAAUUAUACGAAUAUUGAAAAUGAUUAUAAAUAAAUUAUUAGAUAUCAAGUUAGUUUUAAGACAUUUAAAAAUAUAAGAAAUAAGUUAAACAUAUUUUAGGUUCUCAAACCCAAUUUUUUUCUAUAAAAUAUUAAAGACCAGUUUUUCAAAAACUGUUUUUAAAAAUAUUUCUCAAAUAAAAGGGAAGUUUCUAUAUGUUAUAAAAUUGAUAGCCUCACCCUAGUUGAUUUGUUUGAACAUGAACUCCAAGUAUGCUCUAAAAGAUGAAGGCAUGUAGUUGAAGUGAAAAGAUGUUGGUCAAAUAGUUCGUAAAUGAUUGAUUAGACAUGAGUAAGAUAACUCCUUGUACAUAUUAAAUUUUUUCAUGGUGAAAGUGUUUAAUUGUUAGUAGGCCCAUGGGUUUUCAUCUCUUAGGAGAUUUUCUAUGUAAAAAUCUGGUGUUAUGGUCUCCACCUCAUUCUUCUCAUUUUUCAUUAUCAUUUAUCGAUGCUAAUUUCAUUCUUAAUCAUAAAUGUUAAAUGGGUGAAAAAUAAGUUGAAAUGAGUUCAAUUAUUCUUUAGAAAUUUUGGAUACUUUUCUUUUCAAUUUGAUUAUGAUAUCAAAAGAGUAAUUAGAAAUAUGUUUUAAAUAGUUAAUUAUUAUUAUGAAUUUUGAUCGGGAAUCUUGAUUCAUUUGCAUACAAAUUGCAUUUAUUAAAUUUUUUAGAGAGUUUUGGUGCAUCUAUUCUUGCAUGUGAUUUUUAUUUUUAUUUUUUUUGUUAAAAAGUUGUUAGAAGAUAUGAGAAAUUUUAAAGAAAGAUGAUUCAUGUUGGAGCAUCUCUUAAAUUUAUUUAGAUACAUGUUGGAGUAUCUCUUAUAUUUAUUUAAAAACACCUAUUCACCCCUCUAGGGAUAGUCCAACAUUAAAAUUCAGCCUCGGUUUUUAUUAUGAAUAUUUUAUUUUUCAAGUGGAGAUCUUGAGAAAUGUUUUAUAUAUGGGAUGAGUGUGCUUUAAACAAUAACAAAAGUAAAAAUAAUUUUCAUGUAUUUUUUGCAUAAUAAUUUUUUAAAAGUUAUUAAUAUUUUUUUUUUAAAAAAAACCAUAUUUAUUUUUUUGUGGUUUAAAAACUUAUUCGAACACAUUGUGUCAUCAACUUAAAAAGACAUUUUAGAUAUUGAUUGAAAUAAUAGAAAUAUGAGAAUGCAUGAAAUCAAUUCUAAAUUCUAAAUAUUUUAGAUUUAUGAAUAUAAAUUUGAUUUAAAAAAAUGCAAGUUCUUAUUUUCUUUGAUUAGAAGGAACAAUUUGUUCCCUUUUGCAAAUUUUUAAGUUCAUAAAGCAUGAUGACUCAUUAAAUGAGAUAAAUAUUUAUCCUCUUUAUAAUUACGAUUGUGGACAAUCUUUCUUAAUAUGAUUUAAAUUCAUCUUCCGAGGACUACGAUAGAUUUCACUAUCUUCCUCCAUAAAUGUUGUACAAUAUUCCAAAUCAUAUACAAUGGAAGAUUUCAAACAAACACAUAAAUGAAUUAAAAUUAAGAAUAUUAUGAAGAAUCUCAAAUACUUAAUUGUAAAAUAUCCAUAUUUAUAAUCAAUAACCCAAGUCAUUCUAUAUACAUUACCAUCAAUACACAAUAGUAAUUACUCCAAAGGCUUGUAAGAUGUGGGGAAUGCUUUUUCUGAAUGAAAAACUACAUGAGGAGGUUUACAUACCACCUUUGCCAAGAUGAUCAGUUUCUUCACAUUUAGUUAAUCAACUCAAAAAGGCAUUGUACGAACUAAAACAAGUUGAUUGUAGAUAAAUUUUGCAUUUGUAAACCCUAUAUAAUGGUAUUAAAUAUUGUUUACAUUAAAAUGGUUUUCUUCUUUCUCAAAUGAUAUAAAACCAUAUUAAUCCUGAUUUUCAUAUUAAAUGAAACUAUUAAAAUGUAAUUUGUAUAAAACAUCUAGAUUCAAUUAAAUCAAAAUUUUACCUCAUAUUAGUAUUAAUAUUAAAACAAAAUUUACCCUAUAUCGUUUUCUUAAAACAAAUUCAAUAUAUGUAUUAUUACUUUUAUAUAUUUCCAUAAAAGCCAACUAUUGAUAUUUCAUAAAUUUUUAUAUUUUUUUUAUUUUCUCAUUCUGACUUCUAAAUCACGAACUUCUUUCAUAAAACCAGUUUGAAAGGCCCUAACCAAAUUAAAAGAACUUCUUAACUUCUCAAAAUUAUUUUAUUAUCUUGAGAAUUGAGGAACGUUCCAUGCUGAAACCCCUCAAACUCUCCAUUUAGAUACUAAUAACGCCCACUACAAUCGGCACCAGAUAAUCAGGACAUUCAAUCAACAAUAGAAAUCAAAUCUAGGACCAUGUGCCUCUACCACCGACGACCACUAACCAAUUGGACACAUCGAUGGGCUUAACGUCUAAAAAUCCAUCCAAACCAAACCCAAAAUAAUUUUUCAUAUGUAUAUCAAAUAAAGAGACUUUAGAUUCUUUUUUCCCCCUUUUUCCUGCUGCUUUCCAUCAUCCAAACAUAGCCUAACAAUUAGAGCUCAACAAAAUACAAAAAAUGGUUCAGUUUUUACAGGCUUAAGGACUUUAAGAGUUCAUUUGAAUCUUGAGGAUUCCAGCACUAGGAGAAUUUUUUAAUAACUCAAAAUAUAAGACUGAAGGGACUCAGUUCAGCUCAAAUAUCAGUUGAACAAAAGUAAUAAAAUCGGUAUUCAGCAGCAAAAUUAUUUAAACACGACCUCAAGUAAUAGUGGUUUUAACAUAAAGCUCAACCUUCAUAUUUAAAAGGAAGAAAAGAAAAGACUCGUGGCAUUGAAAGCAAAGUAAUUUUCACCUUUCUGAACACUAGAAAAUUUGCUAUCCACCAUUGCUACAAAACAACACUUCAGGUUUCGGGUUUUGGGUUUCAAGCAGUAUUAGCUCAAAAUAUAGAUGUAGGUGAAACAGCCAAGAAGUCAAAAAAGAGUAAUAAUCAUAGAGCUUACGAUUAGUCACAAGAGAGUGCCUCCCGUAAAGCUUUUGUGGUCUCCAUGAAUCUAUGACCAGCCAAGGACAUAGUCCAAAACAUAAACCAGUGCCAGGGAGAAAGGGUAUAGCAAGAGAGCUACAAAAGAUGUCCAGAGAGGGAAGGUGGUGCGGAAACUGGCAAAAACGCCCAUCACAACGCAAACUAUGAGAAUGACCAGCACCUCUGAUGAGAAGUCCCAUGUUAAUCCCCUAACAUAAACGAGGGCUAAAAAGACUGACAGGCAAAGGACAUUAUUCAUUGUUACCGCCCCAUAUAACUGUAUGAGAAAAAGAGAUGAAAACAGAUUAGAGGGAUGAUUUCAUAACUCCAGAACAAAACAAUUAACUAUUAAGCAAAUAUAAUGAUCCCUGUAAACAAUAACACCGAUGUUUAUGCCUUGUGAGUUCAAAUUCUGCACUAUUCCAAGAUGAACCUAUGUCUACUAGAACUCUGGUCUACAGACAGCUAACAUGGUUUGCAUAAUUCAAUAUACACCAGUCAUUUAGAAAGUCAGUUCCAGAGACUGCAUUUCACUGGGGGAGGGAGAGAGGAUUACAAGAACUGUUAUGAGAUUGUGAGAAAUACAGGUGUUAUAAGAUGUCUCAGGAGAUCAAAUGUAAGAAACAUCGAUUUGACUAAAAGAUAAAAAUUUUUAAGUUCUAAAAAUGUUGAAAGCGCUUCCUAAAAUCACUACCACACUCUAAUAAUGAGAAACAAUUUGAAAGAACUGAGUCGACCGCUAGAACUACUGGUCUUAAAAGGGCAUAUAAUGUUCUACCACAUCCAAAUAUUUUAAUAGAAUAAAAAUUCUAUCUGAUCGAAACAGAAAAGAUAAUCACCCCUCAUGAUUUCCCACUAUAAUAUGAUGAUAUUCAUAGCUGGUGAUGCAAAUAAGAGUCCCUCUGACAAUGCUUUUAGAGAACACUUGUAACAUAAAAACAUUUUUAGAGAAAAAUUAAGUGUCUACUGUCUAGUAAAAGUUUAAAAACACUUUUAAAAAGUUUAAAAAUCACUUAUAACGCUUUCUUUAGAAAGCACGGUGAUUCUCUCAAAAAAAACUUCAAGAGAAAGCACUUCGACUAAAAGUACUUACAAAUAAAAACACUCACCGACACAUUCUUAGAAAGGUAUUGGGAAUACACUAGAAGUAGCUCUAACUGGAUGCAACCUAAUACCCAUUAGGCUGGAACUUGGUCUCAUAGAAACUUCAGCUAGAGCAGUGGUUAGAUCAUAGUCUAUAAAUGUACUUCACAUUAUUCACUCAAAACUGAACAUUUUCCAAAAGAAGUAAAGCUUAGAACUGCCUUUAGACAACUUGAAUUUAGUCAACGUUAUAAAAACCCAACUUCCCAAAUCAAUAGAACAUUUAAAUGGACCUUCCCUAUAAAACAACCUAUGAAGUUUAGCCAAAUCUAAGAGCUAAUGGGCACUUUGCAGUAAUGAAAAAGCAAUAAUAUCUACUAAUCUUAAGUUUUUCACUAGAAAUCAACAGAUUAAUUAGUGAAUGACAAAUCACAAUUUUUUUUCAUUUUCUUAAAAAAAUAGAUUGUUAAGUCUGGGAAACAUUAGAAAUAUUGGAUCAUUAAUCAAAUAAUGCUCUGCUAUAUAGUUCCAAACAGGUGGUGUGAUUAUUUAGUAUCCAAAAAUUACAUAGAAGAGAAGGGAAGAAACACACCACUGAAAAUGUCAAAGACGUAGUCCUUCUCUUUUUGCGGCUAGCAAAGAUAAUUGCUGAAACUGCCUCACUGGAGGUAGCCAAGGGCAGUGCAAUAAAUGAGAUGAAGAAGGUAGGAAUGCUCGUAGCAUCAGAGAAGUUGUCAACAGCAUCUACAAGGGGAUCAGCAAAUACAGCUGCAAUAAGAGUUCCCAACAACAACAUCAUCACUGCUUUAAAGGUAAUCCACUUCGGGUUUUCCACAGCCUCAACCACCUCAUCACUUUGAUACCCCUCCAAACGAUUGUGCUCUCUCUUUGUUCCCUGCAUACGCAUUUCAAAAAGUUGGCAAUCUUGCUCAUAAUAAGCUGCUGCUGGAGAAGGUUGUUAUGAGACAACUUACCCUGUGAAAAGCAUCUAAAAUACUUGAUGAAUUAGGACCAGCAUCAGGACCAGAACCCUCAUAACGCUUUGCUUCCGUAAUCCAUCUUGAAAUUCCUUUGACAAACUCUCCCUCAUCAACAAACUGAUCAUUGGAUGUAUCGAAAUCACUCAUCACUUUGUCCACAGCCUCAUUCCUAUCCAAGUCUAUCUCCUCAAACUGAAUUCCUACAAUCAAUGGUCUUAAUUCGGCUUUUGAAAGGUUCCCAUCGUGAUUCUCAUCAAUUGAAUGAAAAAGCCUGUGGCAGUACCAAUCAUGUGCUCAGGAAAUACAAGUCAUACUAACAGCAUACGCGCAUUUGAUAAAACACUUACUUUCUUAUAAUUUCUUCAUUAGGUUCACCCUCCUCUGUUAGGAGCUUUCCUAGUGUGUGCAUUCUUAAAUGUUUAAGAAGUCCAGAUAUUACAUGUUUAUGCUUUGCAUAAGCAAGUCGUCUCUUUUGUAUCCAAGGCUGAAAAACCUGCACCGAUAUUAAAAAGAAAAGUCGAGCAUCAAUACAGAAAGGAGACCAAGAUUCCUUUUUCUUUUGUAUUUUUAUGAAUAACAAUUUUGUCGAAUCUAUUAAGAGAAAGGCAGAAACCCAUCUACAAGUGGAUUAUAAAUUGGAAAGCAGAAAACAUAAAAUCUAUAAAAUCAUGAAGGAGAAAACCUUCCCUCCAUAUGAUACAACAAAAAUGGCAAUUCCACAAUUCAAUUUAAAAUUGCCAAUCCCAAGAAGAAGAAGAAAGAAAAAAUAAAAAUUCAUAUUAGCUAACUCUAUGGCAAGAAAAAAAAUUAUCGCCAUUGACUGUAACAAUCCCGGUUAUAUUACUCAGCGGCUGACUAAGGCAGCCCUAAAUUUUCCCUUUUUAGAUGGAAAGUCUGUUCCUAAGGCAUUGAAAACUCAAAUAUGCAAAACUUUGUAAAAUGUAAGAAAGGGUGUCUUUGACUUUGCAAUAAACUAUGACAUGCUAUUUAACCAAAGAACAGCACAUUAUAGCAUGCGUAUAGUUUCAAGUUUAAAUUUCCAAAUGUUUCCCUCAGACAUCCCAAACGCUUCCAUUUUCAGGAGAUAAGUGAUAGAUAAAUGAAAAUACAAAAUAUUUUAGAUUAAUUAAUGGUGCAUUUGACAAAAGGGACGUUGUUAUGAUUGAAACAUUUUGAUGAAAUUUUCUCAAAAAAGAAAUCUUAUAAAUUAUCUGUGAAUGGAAGAGAUUCUUGAGCGCUUAUCAAUCCACAAAUAAAGUCAUACAAUUAAAAGUAUUCAAGCAUGAAACCAAGGGAAUUUUCAGAUCCAUUCCAAAAAAAACAUGAAAAAGCUUUAGAGACAUGUUUUAGAAAACAGCAGGAACAUUUGGAAACAUGCUGUCAUCAAUUGUUUCAUUUUCUUGAAUGUAAACCAGAAAACAUCAUUUUGAUGGUUCUUGGAAGGACAUGAUGAUUUCAAAAAGAAGUUCUCAAAGCAAGGGGGUUUCCAGAGAUCUAAGUGGCAACAUGUCAACAUUAUUCGACUUUGUGGCCAUAGUUGUUAACUCAUAAAACUAAAUCAUGAAUCUUUUUUCUAUUUUUCCAUAUCAAAUCAUGUACUGUAGGAUUUUUAUAUAGCGAAAAAAAAAAUUGAAAAAAAAAUGCACACAUGUACAUAUUAGAAGCAUGAAGUAUAGUAACAGAUAACCAAUUUCAUGGAAGAUAGUAGGAUUUAAAGUGUUAAACUAUGUAUGGAAGAUAGUAGGAUUUAAAGAGUCAAACUAUGUCUGUGAGUAGAGGACAGCAAAAUAGCAUCGGUCACCAACUUGUGGUUUGGAACAAUGCAACAUGAUUGAAGAUGCAGUAUGAAUUAAGUGGGAAAGUUGUGGAAAUUUGGGCUAAGGAAAUUAGGUUUCUUUCACUUCAUGAGGAUAUAUAGGAUUGGUGCCAAGGGUUGUAUAGAAAUUUAUCUAUUACAGCUGCUUGUAUGGUUCACUAUAACUCCUAAUACAAAUACUGGUUGCUUGCAUCAUUCUCUUGUUUCUAUUAUGGUGCCUUAAAAAGGUUGACCAUUUAUUACUACUUGUUGCUUGUAUGGUUCACUGAGAUGAUAAUUCAUAUGAAAACAUUGGAUACAAGAGGUUUAAAAAAAUAUUCAAUUUAACAAACAUGAGUUUAAUGCAUAGGAAUUUCAUGAAUUUAGGCCCUAGUUGGAUCGACAAAAUGAUGAGGGGGGUGCACAAGAGGUUCAAAUUUAAUCAAUCCUUUUAACUGUUGAAAAUUUCAAAACACAUAUAAGUCUAACAAAAAUGUCAAAGGUGACAAACUCUCAACACAAUAGGAAACCUUGAAUUGCUAAUAACAACAGAAAGCUAAGGGAUGUUGCUUCCAAUCAAGUACUUUCAUCAUCUCAGUGUAACAACAAAAAUGGAACACUUAAACAUUACCAAGUCCUAAAAUACUACAUACAACAACAAAUAUUAACAAACAAGAAAGAAUAACAUAAAGGAUUGAAUAGAUAUUUUUUUCCUUCAGAACAUGGAAUGAAAUCUAGAAUGCACCUAUCCCAUCCUAACCCCUUGCCACAUGAGCCCUUGCCUCAAGGAAUCAGACAUGAUUAAAAUUAAAAACCAAAGCGUAAUUAAAUUUGAUGACUGCCAAGAAAAUAAUUACCUGGUACAAGCAAUAAGUAAUCAAUAAUAUAAGGGAGACAAUAAGCGCAAUCAAGACUGCUAAGCGUCUUGCUGAAGUUGAAUGUAGAACUUGAGGUAGUUGGACAAUGAUAAAUGGGAUGACUGAUAUCACCAUGAUGAUUGCAGCGUAACUAGUCCAGAUAUCGGUACUAACACCAGAACCUGUGAAGGAGGGGAAUUAUUUUAAACAUGUAGCACUAUAGUCAUUAAUUCAAUAUUUUUAAAUCUGUUUAUACUACGGCAUCAAACACAGUUUAAGGAUGUGUUUUUAGUCAUCAACUUUUGGAAUAUGUGAAUAUCAUUCCUGACACUUAACUCAGCAGUAGGAUGACAUUUACCAUCACUUAAAUGGAAUUAGAAGAUAGCAAAGAAAAGCAACUUAAAUUUAUACAAGUCUCAAGGGUAUGUGUAUUUUAGAGAAUAUAUAUUUUCAUCAAUCACACUUUUAAAGGUCAACAUAGUGAUAGCUUAAAUCUUCUACACUUGACUUUUCUAGUCAUGUAACAGCUGCAAAGUUAACAGACAUUCUAAGCCUACAAAAAAUUUGCUAAUAAGGAAUGAUAUAAAUGGCUCAACAUAUUUCCAAAAUAUCCUUACUAGUUAUAUGCAUAAUGUGUAACAUGUGGAAGAAAUCGAGAGAGAAGGAUGAACAGGUAAACAUGAAGGUAUAACACAUGAGAGAAGAAAAUUAAGAGAAGUUGAAAAUGUAAUUUAUUGUGGGACCCACUAUCUUGUUAAAUGAUAUUAGACACUAAUUCAUCUGUAAAAUAUAGAUAUGCUCCUUAUUACACCAUGUAUUCCAUAAGUCCAUCAUCAAAUUAUCAAAUUAAACAAAUGUCCCUGCCUUAAUCUUAACAGCAUGCAACAUAUGUAGUUUUUGACUGGGCUUGUGACUGCCGAAAAUGUAUACAAGCCAGAACUUAGUAGUUUAUCAGAAAGAAAUAAUAAAAGAUAUAGGAUAGCGCUAUACACAGGUAAAGGUAUAUGGACAUGGGCAUACCGGUUAGGCUAAAUCCUUUGGUAUCUUGCAAGUCUUUGGCAACUGAAUCCUGAAGGUCACACUUGCCAACAAUAACACAAGAUCCCCACAUUAUUGUAAGGAGUAUUACAGUUGAUCCAGCAAGCAACCCCAUUCCUACAGAGACCUGACUCUGUGCAGUUUCUGUACUUCCAGAAAGUCCAGAUACUACAUGAAACAAGAGAGUUGAUUAGAAGGAACAUGGAGAUCAAUCAUUAGAUACAUGAUUGCAAUGUCACUACAAAAAAAGAUAAAACAUAAAAUGAAAAUAACAGAAAAGGAUACAGGACUACCAACGAACAUGCACGGUCUCCCCAUUGGAAACAUGGAAAAGAAAAUUUAGAUUUUGAAAAUGUGGGGAUACAAGGGGUGAGCAGCAUCAUAAAUUAAUCACUGCAAAGCAGUGAAGCACUACUGGUUUUAGGCAAAAGAAGGCAUGACUAGUAUAUAAGAUAAAGCAAACCAUCAAUUCAAGAAUCAAAGCAGAGAAUUGAAUAUUUACUAAAGCUGUCAAUGCAUAGCAUGGUAUAAUUCACGCCCUUCAUACUAUGGGAUAAUUGAUUAUUCCAUCCUUUUUUCCUUUUACCCCAACCAAAACUCCAAAAUACCAUUCUCAUUUGAAAGCGAUAGUUCCAAAAUUUGUGCAACAGCACCAAUGAGCAUUUGGGCUAAGGCAUAGGGUACUUCCAAUCAAGAUAAAGCAUCGGACGUAUUUGGAAGGUUUCCUCUACUGCGUAUCUAAUGUGAUCAUCAACUUAAACAUAGAUUUCAAAUUGUUAGAAGAUGCUUAUUCAUGAUGUCACGUCAAAGGUAGUGCUAAAAACUUCAUCCAUG